Molecule: long non-coding RNA, 55838 nt
Filed under: Sorghum bicolor (sorghum)
Lineage: Eukaryota; Viridiplantae; Streptophyta; Magnoliopsida; Poales; Poaceae
Description: long non-coding RNA (SBIC_LNC009917)
Source: RNAcentral
CUUCUUCUUGGUCGACCUGCUCCUAGGGAACCUCCUUGACAUGCGCCUUCUUGCAAGGCGCAACCCCUCCAAUGGACUUACGAGCAAACCACUUUCCACGAUACAUCUAUAGAGUUAGAUUAAGGUUCAAGUCAGCAGAGGCAAUAAUUUAGAAUAGAAUAAAGCGAAGGAAGCACAAAAAUUUUAGCAAAUAACAAGGUAAUAGUAAAGCUUGAAACAAGUGAAGUAGAGGUGUUAAAUUUGACCAUUACUAACUAGACUUGUGUCCUACGGUCAACAAUGCUUUGAUACCAAUUUGUCACACCCAAUUUCAAGAACGAAAUAGGAUGCAUAAAAUACUCAUGUGCACCCCAGAAACAGUCGCACACCUAAGUAGACAAAUCUUAAAAUAGUACCAUCACAUUGUUUAUUACAUAACAGGUAAAUAUUCAUCGCAUAGUCUUAAACAAUAAUAAUAGUUUUAAUAAAUAAGCUCUCAACAGAAGCACCACAUAGGGACAACUGUCAACUAGUUGACUCUAAACUAGUACUCAUCAGUAGUUCUCAUUCCAGUCAUCUUCAUUAGCACAUCACAUCCUAAGGUGUUGUGAAAUAGCAAGAGUGAGCACAUACUAUACUCAAUAAGUAUAAUCAGGGGUUCAUGAGGCUCAAUUAGCUGAUACUGGUUUUACUGCAUUUACCUUCAAUAUGUAUGUAGAAUAUUCAUCAUAAGAUAGCGAAUAUCAAGGUAGCAUAUUUAAUCACAUAACCACAUGAUCAAUGUAAGCAUAAUUAAUUUAAAGCAUAAAUGAUAUAUAAAUGAACAUAAUAACUUAAUAAGCAUCAUCAUCUUUAAUAUAAGAAUCCCCAAGGUUGCUCGUGUCCAUGAGCAUGGCUAGUAUACCAGUUUAAACACUCUGAAAAGGUUGUACUCCCUCCGUCCCUAAAUACUGCUAUUUCUAGGAGAAAAUUUUAUCCACAAAUACUGCUAUUUCUACUAGCACACUCAGUCCACGAGCCCAUUUAAUUUAUCCACGGAACUCCAUGAUCUUCAGCCCAUUUAAUUUCUUCUAGGGAGUAGUACUUUGGUGCAUGGUAUUGUUUGAGUCUGUUUAGUUGGCAUUAAAUGCAGCUCGUUGGAACUAGAGAACCAUGGCUUAACGUGCAUGAUUAAAUGGUGGAACCCAAAUUAAUUGAGGGUAGAAUGGUCUUUUGUUUGCCACACUAAUUUGUCUAAAAUCUACUAGAAAUAGCUGUAUUUGGGGACGGAGGGAGUACAUCUUUAUCCAUGAGUCUCAAUUUACUCUUUCGCCUGAGGUGAUCAGCCUCUUAACCCACUACCAAGGAAGGUCUGCAGGGUUCACUAUGAAGCCUUUCAACAGUUUGUUUAACAAGUUAGGGCUGCAAGGUUUCUAAUCGGUUAGCAGAUGUAGAGCCCCCUUCCGAAUGGCACAAUGACGCGCAGUCUAUACAUAUAAGGACAGAGGCCACACUAUACCAAGAAUGGCAAACCCCUCUAGGUAAGGUCUUCAUACCAAGCAAAAGCUAGAGACAUUAUAGCCCUCAUGGUUGCACUGUCAAUCUCAAUGAUCACUUACAGACAAGAUCUCAUAUAGUCAUAAAUCAUCUUUUAAUGUUCUUUGUAUUGUCAUUAAUCAUCUUACAAGAUCAUGGAUUAAAUCAAGCACUAGCAAGAACUACCCAAAUGCAUAUCCAAAUAGGUUUAUAAAAAUGAAGAAGUUAUGGAUUUUCUACAUAGAAUAGUACACCAACAGUAGAAAAACAAAUAUAAAAGUUUAUAUGUAGUGCUACGAUCACAUAGACAUAAAGAUCACGAAAAUCGGAUCUAAAAUGGAGAAGUUAUGGAUUUUCUAAAAUUUCCUAUAGAAAAGUAAUUAAUUGAAAAGGACCACGAAAUUAAAAAGUAAUAAGCUGGUUACACAAUGAUACUAACAUGUAGAUCUCGCAAAGAUGAAUCUAACACAAUUUGAAUGAAUUAAAAUAGAGUUAAAAUGAGCAUUUUAUAAGCAAUAUAAAAUCUGUGGCAAAUCUAUAAAUGAUGGAAAGUGUAUUUUGAUUUAAACCAACGUGAAAUACGCUUUUAAAAUGAGAAAACGUAUUUGAGUGAAUGCGUGAAGGACUGCGGGUUCUAAUCCCUGAAGCCGCAGGGUCUCUUUUGCAAAAAAAAAACCCACCCCAAAGGGGUAUCUUCUAAUUCUGGCCAUAGAUCACGCAAUGGAUGGCCAAGAAUCAAUCUAGGCGGUGGAGGUGGCUAGCAGCGGCCCGGAAUAGGACCCCACGUCGGCGCCAUUAGAGACCUCGCCGGAGUUCCCUGUUCUUGCGGUUCCGAGCACCAAAUGGGAAAGAAAACCACCAGGGGGUGGAGAAACUCACCACGAACUCACCUGGACUCUUGGACUAGGCCGAGAGGGAGUAGGAGAUGAGUACGGUGGUGGCGGAUGAAGUUCCAAGCUCGUCUAGAUCCGAAAAGGGUCGGGGCAGCAGCUGGGGCGCAACCGAGUCACGAAGAUGAAAAAAUAGAACAUGAGGGAAAGCUCUGGAAGCUUUAUAGGGUCGGUUGGGCGCCCUACUCGUCAAAUCCCAGAAGAAUUGGGAUUCUCUUCCGUCUCGGUGAAGGAGUCCUAGUCGGCUUGGGGGAGGAAGAGGGAAAGGCGAGAUGAGUCACUAACGGGUGGGCCAUGGGUGUCUAUGGCACAGAAGAAUUGGGAGGAGGGAGCUGUGGUGUGUCUUGGGCCGGUUCCUGGGCUGUGACGGCCUGUCCGUGCGCAGGACUGAGGCGAACAACGAGCUGGGCCAAAAACAGAGAGUAAAACCCUUUUUUUUAUUUUUCCUUUUUAAACAUUUUACUAACCUUAUGUUGGAUUUUAUUUUCAAUAAAAUUAUUUAUGCUAAAUUAAAUGUUCAUAAAAAUAAUUAAAUAAAUCCAAUUAAUUCUAUUUAAUUGAAAAUCAAAUUUUAGGUGUUAUAGCCCUUGUCACUUUCAGCUGUCUGUGAAAGCUGUAACUUCUAGAGUUGUCCUAAAUCAAACUUGUAAAACUUUGACCAAAUUUAUAAAAAAAACACUAAGGUUUAUAGUACCAAAUUAUACCAUAUUAUUUAUCAUUGAAUAUAAUUUUAUAAGAUACUCAUUUUAUGUCAUAGAUAUUGAUGCUCUUUUCUAUAAAGUUGGUCAAAGUUAAACAAGUUUGACUGGUACGGAUUCUAGGAGUUGAAGCUUUAGGAACAGACGGAGUAUCAUAUUGGGCUUGGAUACGCCCGAUCUGCAACGAAACUAAUCUACAGAUGGUCGGGAACAUUACCUGAAGGGCUACUUUGGUAACUCAGGGCCAUUAACCCAGGGAACAAAAUGGAGGGGGAGGGAAAUUUCUGGACAUGCUAAUCCCCUCUCCACCCGGAGGGGAAAUUUGACGUGGAGGUUUAUUUCCCAGCGGCUGUUUGGAAGUAUGCAGCAAGUGGAGACGGAUGAUGAGUUCAAACAGCUUCAGCAGAAAGCGUUCAGAUAAGCAUGCAUGAAUUAGUCCUUCCUGAUGGCUCUCGGCUUAGCAUUCUAGGAAUAAGUCUUGGCUUAUUUGAUAAUUUCAAUAUAGACAUAGUAUACAAACGUCUUAAAAAAUCAGAAAAUUCAAAAAAAAAUCACUACAUAUCAAGGCAAACAUUGCAUAGUGAUAAAAAACAAAUCUCAGACAUAAGUCUGUUUAUUAAAAAUACAUAUGUAUUUCAAACUGCAAUCAAGUCUUUGCAUAGCUACAUAGAAACCAGAAAUGUUCAAUGAUCAUUAAAAAACAUGACCACACUUCACUUGUCCAAGUCAUGCAUUUCUUCCACCAAAACCUCUGCAAAUAACAUAAAACAAAAAUGGUGAACUCUUGUAACACAUUUGGCUUUUCCCCAACAAGUGUGUAUAUGAAUGGAUCAUACAAAAAAAGUAUCACUUUAAAGAAUGAAGCUGCAGCAAGCUAACACAUGUAGAAGCAAGCUAACAUUAAACAGAUAGAUAUGCCUACCAAAUUCCAGAGUUCCUAUAUUUCAGUCAUAUAAGCCAAACCAUGCUAACCUACAUGGAGAAUGCCUAGCAAAUUUCACAGUUGGCCUCGAAAACUAGCAUGAUUGUCACAGGUAAGCACCAUAACUUGAAAAACUAGGUUCUCAGCUCCUAAAUUUGCUCAUAUGUGCAAGCUAAUAAUACUGACUUAGCUAACAGAACUACAGCAAGUGGUCCAAUCAGAAUGUAAAUGGUAUUGGUAUGUCAAAGAGCAAAAACAAUGAUCUGUUAAUUCGUUACGGACCAUUGGUAUGUCUAAAGCUCAGGCUAUCAAGGUAAAUGGCAUGUGUAGCUAGGCUUUCUUGACCAUACCCAUCUGGCGCCAGUGUGCACUGGACCAUAACUUGCAACAGCUGUACUCAUUGAAGUACUAAGGAACUGAUAAGCCCAUGAAGAAAGCGAACCCCAUUGGUCCUAAAGCUGUUUAGGUUGCAGAACUGAAGUAAACUCAGGCUAACACCACCUGAAAAUGGAAGCAACUUUUGAGUACAGAUGAAGAAAACAAAUCAAAAAUAAUGUCUCAAAAAUCUCAAAUUUUUUAGUACAAAUGAAACACACAUGCCACAUCGUAAAGGGGCAGAUGGAUACCUUGGAGCAUCCUCAAAUUCAGUAUUCUAGGUCCAACAAUUCCAUCAAACAAUCGCUUCACAUGCACUCUUGUAGUCCUGAGAAUGCAAGAUAUGGUGAAUGGCAAAAAACUAUUUCUAGAAUUGACAAACUAUAUAAUAGAGCAUCACAUUCAGUAACAUCAGAGUUGUGGGCUAUCUGUGUUGCUGCAGCCAGUAGUCUGGAGUCAGCUAGGGGGAUUUUGUUGUCUGUGUAGCGAAACAUUAGUCUAAGUACCAUAUUUGUAUCGUUUGGCUAUAAGCAUUCAAUUGUGAAUGUGAAGGCCGAAAUGUUUUUAUUUAGUAAUCUAAAAAAAACAUCAGAGUUGCACCCUACCAGUAGCAGGCCUUUGGUAGUCAAGCCUCAUUCACUGCAUGCAAGAGAAACUAAUGAAGCCAGCAAAGGCUCUUGUUUGAGAACAAGGUACCAUCACCAGGGUCAAGAUCCAAUGCCUGCAUCCAACUAAGUCAAACAGAUUGAAUUUAGAAGAUUUGCUAAAUUGAUGACUACAAAAGAAAACAUAUUUGAAUAUGCAAACAUUUGGACAGAAAGCUAGAUCUAAUAAUUGACUCGCAUCAGAGAAAUGGAGAGAAUAAUUAAAGUUCACUAAGAAUCUACAGUGCCCACCACUCUUUUUUUUUCAUGAGAGCAUUAAGAAGAGUAACAUAGACAAGGGUAUGCGAGGCACACAUUGUCCCACCUUAUUCCCCCCAAUAAUGAAAGCUUAUCCUUGCAACUCAAUUAUUUAUGCACCGAACUGUAUCUUUUCUAUUGUUAUUUGUAAAUAGAACAGAACCUGAAUAAGUAACAGUUUUGAAUGAUUUAUUAUUAGCUUGUGUACUAAGUACAACAUUUCAAUUUCAGUUAGCCCACUGGCCAUUUUAGUUUUUAGCUUGUACUACUAAGUAGAGGAUUCCAAUUUCCAGGAGAGAAAUUGCCUAGUACUAACUACUGUAAAACAGAGCAAGAACAAAUCAGGGCCGAGAAGAACAGAUGUCUGACGACACAAGCUCAAGAUCCAUGCGCAUUCCAACCAAGCUCAUCUGAUUUACUGCUGCAUUAAUCCACCAUGAAACCGGAAAUUUCAAAACAUUGUAGAAGAGAAUCUCAUUCAAUCCUAGGUGAUUUACUGCUGCAUUAAUCCACAUUGUAGAAGCCUCGCGACUGCAGUUGCGCGAGCGCGACCCGUCGGGGAAACGCUCCUGGUCUCCUGACUCGUGGUUUUCUUCCCCGUGGAAAACGAAGGGAAGCGGACUUGUGUCCCCGCGUGACCCCGCGUGAGUGUGUUUCCAAAGAGCGCGACCAAUCUAUCCAGAGAAAGUGGCCGCGUGGUUUCUCGGCCCGGGGAAGUCGCUGCGAACCCUCCGGGAUCCCCUCCUGCCAAAGUAGCCCGAAAGGUCGUAGAAAAGCUCCUUCAAAAUUAUAAGUUGACUGGAUAAGCGACGGCUGGCUCAAUUGCUCGGCAUGCGUGAUGCACGUGCGCCGAGUUCACAAGUCAACGCAGCUUUGCUUUCAGUCCACGGCAGGAGAGACGAAGAACCUUGCGCGCCACUCCUAUUGUUGUAUUUAACCGCCGCCCUGAUGCCACCAACGGAAACAAGUGUCGUGCAAGGGAGCAAACAAGACACAAGCGAGCGAACAAUCUUGGAGCCAAUGAACCGCCAAGGGCAGCCACGCGCCGAGGGCCGGCACCACCUCGCCUUCCUCCUCGUCCUCCUCCUCCGCCGCCUCCAGCUCCGGCGAGAGGAGCCACCGUGCGCUCAUAGUGCGGCUCCUGCCGUUCCGGGGCGCGCUGCAUGGCCACACCAGCGCGAUGCUGCUGAUCAUCCAGUUCGCCCGCCGGCGCCACCUCGCGUGCCACGGCCUCCGCCCCACGCUCGUCACCACCCGCUACAUCGUCCUCCCCGCCGCGCCGCCCCUGCCAAGCCUCUUCCGUGUCGCCGCCAUUUCAGACGGCUUCAAUGACGCCGGCCAUGCUAGUGGAGUGUGGUGGAAGUGGAACUGGCGACUAUAUCAAAAUGCAUUUUUAGGAGGUGAUGGACGGCGAUAGCAAGAGUGAAUUUGGGAUGAAUGCUUAUGCUUGCUAAGUGGACGAAGAAUAUGGACAAGGCACAAUAAUGCAGAAAGGAGGAAACUCAUGCAUGAAUAUUGCUGAAUUUGCAGCAAAGUAUCCAAUAUGUCGUCAAACAAUAAGCAUCUAGUGAUAUGGAAUUUAUAUAUUGAUGAGCAUAACAAGUCUUUGCAUUGCGCCUUCUGUAACUUCAAAGGAGGCCAAAGAUGUUGGUAUUCUCCUAUACAACUAAAAAGAACAAAAGUAAGACUAUUUCAUGGUGCGACAUUUUGUUUCGCUCCGUCGGUCCGCUUCACCUGUGACUUACGGCUUCCCUCCCGGCGCAGGACUUACUUGCGACUGCAAUCUCCUCCUUCAAUCACGCGCUCUGCCUCCGUGCAACCCCAUGCUCACCCUGAUUUCACCUCACCUCGCACGCAAUGGCCCCGACAUCCCUCCUGCCUCAAUCUGCUUGCCCCGCUGCUCGCCGAUGUCGGCCGCCGACCCCUCGGUGAUGUCCCCGCCUCCGCUCCCUUACCCUCCGCUCCGCUGCGAACCUCCCUCUCCGUGCUCCUCAACCUCUUUGUGUGCGUCGACUUCACCACCAAGAUCUGGAUCUGCCCGCUCUGCUUCUCCCGAAACUCCAAUGUCCCUGCCGAGCUCUUCCCGUUCACCGUCCCCGGCUUGCCCCGGUAGUGGUUUUCGUCCUUCCGGUUCACUCCCCGGCGAAUUCCAUGUUGAUCGACGGGAUGGGGUCCGUGGUCACGACGUGAGCGACUACCACGGCGAGGAGCGGCACAGGCUCGUGAACCUCAUCGCGGAGACUACUUAGGAUCCAUGAGCAGGUCCACCACCCACCUGGUAAGCCACUACACAUCGCCUCGCCUGCUAGCUGGGCAUCGAGUUUCAAUAGUUGAUUUGAUUCCACGUGGUGAAAAAUUGGAUCUGGUGCGCACUACUUGCGGGCCGGUGUGCUAGAGGGUCGAGGGGAAGAAGUAUGUACGCAUCAUGAGGAAGCUGGUGACUCGCUCUUGAGCCACUGCUGGUUCACAUAGUGUCUCAGGGAGGGGAGGCGCCUUGCAAAGGACCCCUACUUGAUGGUAAGGUAGGGGCAAUUUUUCUUCAACUGUUUUGAAACUGUUAUAUGAUUAGACAGGUACUCUAUUGUUGUUUGACUUGUGCGAAUCCAUAUACAAAAUGUGAAAGUGGAAAGAGCAAUUAUGUUUCCACAGAUAUGCUGCCUUGACAGAACAAAAUUGUUGUGGACAGUUCUAAUCUAUCUUACUUUUUGAUCUUAGAUUGUCAGUAUUUCUCAGAUAAAACCUUAUCUUUCCUUUGGAUUAAUAGUUGCUAAGAAGCAAGGACAGUCCCUAUAGUCAUAGAUACCAUCUUAUUCUGUAAAAUUGUUGGCUACUUACUCAGAAAACCUUCAUUUCUGCCUGGUACACAGUGGUGAAGAAGCAGGGCCAGUCCCAGAGCUGCUUGCUCGUUCCCUUACACAAGGCAAGAAAAAUGCCAUCAUGGAGGACUGGGUUUUCCAAGAGUUACCUGAUGAUUUUUGGGACACUCUUCCAGCCAGAGCCAGCUAUAAAGUUAACCUUGAUGAUUCCGAUUCUGAUUUUGAGUCUGCCCUACUAAAAAGUAAGAAUCAUAACCUUCAUUUCAUUUGUUUUCCUGCAUGCAACCCAUGAUGUUGUAUUGUCUAGCAUAUGUAUAAUAUUACCCAAUCAUGGUUAAACUAGAUUUUAUUGCAUUAAAAAUGAUGCUGCUCGUAUAUCAGGGUGACAGUUAUUGUGUACUAGAAUAUGACCUUCCAUCUAUGCAUAAAACAUGGCUGCUGGCUGAUAAAUCUGAUUAUGUCCGAUAAUUGGUAAUUUAUGAGCCAAUAAUUCAAAUUUAUGGAUGAAAUUUAUCAGCCAAUUAUGUCCGAUAAUGAGUUUGACCAUUAGUUUUUCAAUUUAAGUCUGAUAUAUUGCCAUUGGUAUGUAUAGUUUAUACUUUAUAGGACCUCGCGACAUAUUGCUGAGACACUGAUAGAAUUAAUGCUACACAUAUCUAAGCUUAAUAUAAAGAUAUACAGCUCUCUUGCGUGUCUGAUAAAAAUAUCUAGGCUUCAAUUUGAAUUGUCAAAAGAUUUGUCAGAACCAGUUCGAUCACAUAAGGAUCUUGACAAGGAGCCAAGGACGCAGCUCCUCACUUCCAGAAAGCCAUUAAUUUUUCAUGUAUUUUCAUAUGUCCUCUUGGCAGCUUAUGAAUCUACAUCUCAUAAGUUGCCUUUCAUUCAGCAAAGUUCUCCAGUUAUUACACUAGUUUUAGUAAUUCAGUGAUCAGUGCAUUGGAAAAAACAAGCCACAUGUUUUCAUGUAUUUUUAUAUAAUAUCCUCUUGGCAGCUUAUGAAUCUACAUCUCAUAGGCUGCCUUUCAUUCAGCAAAGGUCUCCAGUUAUCACCUGUUACGUCCACACUUUAGUACUUAUGCCGAAGUCUAAAACAAGCAUAACAGAUAAAAGAACUAUGGAAAAGUUUGCCUUGCAAUCUGAGAACUAUGUAGCAUUCAAUCUCCAACAGUUGUUCGUGAACAUGCUUUUACCAUCUCAACUAUUAUAUGCAAGAAUGAAAUGAUCAAAGAAAGGACAUGCCCUGGUUUUUGUAGUUCCGCUGCUACUACUGAAUUUAACUGACCUGUGGGUUUUGUAAAUUUAUUUAACAUCUAUGUGUUUGAGUUUGAUAAUCAACAGACAUUUAUGUGCUCAUCUAAAAACUUAACCGAAUCUGAAUAUAUUUUGAGAGAUUUAUUCUUUGGCGAGUUGUUCUUAAACAUGAUCAAGUUACAUUGCUAAAAUUAAAUCAAGUAUCAAUCAUCCAGUUAAUUCUUGUCAAUUGGGACUUAUGAAUUAUGAUAGUUUUAAACCAUAAGCUAAGACCUAUUCUGAUUUCCAGGACUGGUGUAUUUGUAUAGGCAAACAUAAGUUUAGUCGCAUUCAAUACUUCAUGAACACGAAGAUUUUUGUCGGUUUCAUAUACAACUCUGUUUGGCAUGCCAUUUUCCCUGUGUCGAUUUUGGGAACUGGAAAGCAAAUUCUUCUGCUACUUGCAUAGUUAGUAAAUAUCAAUUGUUAAUUUGCCUUAUGGUCGUCUGGGGCAGCUGCUCAAGCAAUUCCUAGGGAUCUCCUUUCUCUCAAGAGAGAGUAGCUCAUCUGCUUCUUUAUGGGAAAGCCAGAUUUAUCCGGGCAUUAGGGGUCAGCCAUUGGUUGUGAUGAGCAAGGGUUGUGCGGCAGCAAUACUAUUUUCCUCUUCAAUUCUAAUAAUAUGUGUAUUUCUGCAAUUUGUUUGAUUUUUCUUUAUUUUAGUACUGCAGUUUCAGGGCAUGUUUUUAUUUUUGAAUGUUGUCAUUCUAGAUAGUAAAUUUGCUUCUUGGUGGAUUAUUUAUUGGUGAGCGCUAGGGGUAAAUUUUAGAUUGGAUUCUUUGUCAUUCAAUAGUUUAGCUUAAGCGUGCUGACAAUUCUCAAUCAAGUUGUCGUAACAUUCAGGGUUCAGCUGACAUGCACACGACAACAUAUUUGGUGUUGGAGGACACCAUCUUCCACCACACUUGACAAGGCCAUCCUGGAAGGGUCUGUGCCCUUUGACGGCCAUCUCAGGAGCCGGGGAGCAUGUGUGGACUGGUACCUAAGCAAAAUUUUCCACCCCCUAUCUGUUGCUAUCAUGGGCUCAUGGCUGCACAACCACCACAGUACAUAUCAUAUAAAUGAUGGUCAGUAUAGUUGCUUUGUCUACAGCUAAUCUGAAUUUGUCUCUUCAGUAUCUGUGUGCAUAGUUUCUGUUUCAUGUUUGUUUUUGUGCUUACCAGGGAAGGGGAAGAUACAAUGUUUGCUUCCUUAUGAUUGUUGCCAAAUUUCUCUACUGUAAACACUACCUAGCAGAAGGUGAUCCAUAGUUUCCGGCGCCUGGUCAUAGAUGAUGCACUCUUCAGAGCUCUGCAACCCAUGACAAUGUCUCCUAGCAGCAGUCCAACAAUGUCCAUGCAUCAUCAGCCAAAAGAAUUUUUUGACUCAUGGAAGGACAUCGCUUUUCCAGAUUUGCUUGGCCUCAGGCGGAUUUGAUAAACCAUAGAACAUUGCGACAUAGGCUGAGGCUGCACAAUACUGCUGGUCGCCGAACAAGCACCACGAGGUCAAGAUACUGGUAAUGUUGCACCCAUGCCUGUUGUGGAAUUGCUUCCGCCGCUGCCUAGCCAUUGGCGCGAACAACACUAUAGGAAUUCAAACUUAUGGUUGCUGAGUUUGAAGUUUUUUAUAUUUGUAUUUUUUUCCACAGGCUUCACAUGAGCAAAUCAUGAUUGAAGACAUAUGUGUUACUGAGUAGGCUUAGAGCAACUUAAGAGUCGCGAUGUCUGGUUUGAAUUCUUUUUUAGGGGAUGGUCCAAUAGUAUUGCUAUCUCGAAAUCCAAAAUAUUAUUUUUUUUGUCGACCUUCAAUUGUCUUGACUUUAUUUUUUCCAACUUGCAACGCAUGAGCAUUAACUUUUAUACUAAAAACACAUGGAUUGCAUGAUAGAUAAUAAUAUUGUGAGAUUUUACCGAUGUUAAUAAUAUAAAAAACAAAGUUUGUGAAAUUGACAGUCACUAACCUUUCCGUGAUAUUUUAUAUCAGUAAGAAAAAUUAUCUGAGAUCCGUUUCUUUUAUGUGCCAGUGAUCUAUUCCUCAGCAUCCAUACCAUCAUGUACCACGAAAUUAAAUAUUUUGGAGAUUUUUUCUCGCUGAUAUAAAAAGUUAUCUUAGCCGCAUCAGAAAAAUAUCUAUACAGUAGAGUUUAUAAGCCUGCGAUGUCGCGCUAUCCAUAAAUGUGUUAAUUUCAUGAAUUUUUCUUUUUGAUUAAUUUUCAGUUUAACAUUGAUGUUUAGUUUCACAAUAUUAUUAUCUUAUCAUGCGAUCUAUGUGUUUUUACUAUAAAAUUUAGUUGUCCCGUAGCAACGUACGGGCAUGCUAUCCAGUUUAACGUUUCAAAACUCAGGAAUCGAAGUAAAAGUACAGUCACAUAGCUGUGUGUCAUUUAGUUAUUAUUUUGUUUUUUUUGGAUUGUAAGUGCUCUAAGCACGAGAUCAUAGAUCUUAGCUUACAUAGAUUACUGGUCCAUGUAACCUUUGAAAUGUUAGGAUCAUACAUUAUUUUAUUUGCCUACCUUAAUUAAACAAUAUGUUUAAUCUUGUUCUAAAACUGCUAAGUGUAAACUUUGAAUGAUAAAACCAAGGAAUAACAACAUUACCUUUUAUAAAAUCUUUGUUAUCUUCCCAUGAUCUAUGCAAGUAUGCUUUGGUUUGGGUAUGAUCCACUUCGUGUGAUCAUACUUUUAUAGACUUUUCAAAUUAAACAUGGUGCUUAGGUUGUUUAGUCUAAUUUGAUCAAAUUAAAACAUGAUGUCUAGUUUGGCCAUUGAACCGAAAAGUACUAAGCAUGGACAUAGCUGAAUAAAAAUCAUAUAUAAAAUGUAUAAAAAUAAUGUACCUUCAUCGGGGACUUCACCAAGCAAACUCCAGACAAUAGGUUAAGAGUUUGCUUGGGGAAGGACACCAACAAGAUAACUUGUAUCUUGCACUCUCACUACUUUUUGUUACCAUGCAUAAAAAAGAAAAGAAAAAUAAAUAAAAAUAAAUGCUUCCUUUGUUCACCACCGUUCAAUAUUUUCACCUCCAUUGUAUGAUUCUCAUUUAUCAUUUCAUUCUUCCUCAAUGUUUUGGUUUGGAGUUUUGGUUUUAUAUCUUUUAAAAUAAGCAUGGUGCUUAGUUUGAAAUUCGGAUGUAAUGAUUAUCCUUCUAUAGGAUUUUAAAUUUAAGCAUGGUGCUUAACUUAAAUAGCCUAUAUUUAUCAAAUUAGACAUGGUGUCUAGUUUGGUUAUUGGACCAAAACUGCUAGUAUAGACUUUGGUUCAUCAUACGGGCUAACCCCUAGAGGAAUUUAUCAACUUCAUGAGGGUAAGUCUUUGAGAUGACAACAUAGAUGGAAACUUGUUUGGUGAGCCUUGAUAAAAAAAUAUAUAUAUUAAUUAAUAAAUGAGAAUAAUAAUAAAAUUUUCAACUUCAAGUAUAGUUGCCUUGUAAUUUCUAUAAGACAAGCUUGGGGGAGCCUCCUUGCACGCUUAAAGAAGACCAUAAAUCAAAAAUCAGGACACAACACCCGCCAGCUAGCAAGAUUCCUUGCUGAACCUCAGACCGUAUGUUGAAAGCUAGCUUGCGGGAGGACCCCCACAGAGGUGACUCAUAUCUCACAUUUCUUUUAGUUAUCUUAUUAUCUAACAUUUAAACAACAACAACAACAAGGAUGAUGAUGAUGAUGAUGACGACGACGACGACGAUGAUGAUGAUGAUGGAUGCGUCAGCACAAGCUCCUCGGCAAGGACGCGUCCAGCUUCCUGCGACGCGAUGGACAGUCUCACAUCGGCACAAGCUCCUCCACCGCCGCCACUCUCGUCUCCCUGCUCAUCUGUGUGGGCGACCACUGCUGCAAGCGCCGCAGCAGAAGCGCCUCGUCGAGCCAUCCUGUCGUCGUUCGCGACCUCCCCGCCAUGCUCUUCACCUCUUCCCCGGCCACCACAGGUACAGGCCGCGUGGUGCUCUGGAGGGUCGCGAGGGGAAGGACCGAGCGAGUCGAUAUGGAGCCGAGCCAUUUGCUGAGGCGCGGCCGAUGGGAAGGACAGGGCCGAGUUAUUUACACCUGCCAUCCGAUGGAAUGGGCGUCCACGUGACAUCAAUCGAGCUUGGGGGCGCACAUACCGCACGCUGCACCCAUCGUCCAUACAAUUUUUUCCCCAAACAAGGUAUCAUUUCUCUAGAACAGAAAAUGUAACACGAGCAAGAGACUUGAGUAAUUGCAGAGAAAAAUCUUUUACUAAUUCUAGAUCUCAUGGCAAACCGAAUAUAUAAGGAAAGAGUCAUUGUAUAUGGGAUUGAAACAAUAAAAUCCAUUAAUGUAAGUUGCGGACUUAUGCAAUUGCAGAGAAAAUUCUUUUACUAAUUCUAGAUCUCAUGGCAAACAGAAUAUAUAAGCAAAGAGUAGUUGUAGUUCUGUACAUGGGAUUGAAACAACAAAACCCUUUGAUGUCAAGUUAGCUUCUCUUCAGUCUCCAUGGUAUAGAAUACAAGAGCAAGGCAGCUUGUCACUCGAGCGCUUGAAUAACCCAACCAAUCAUCCCCUCCAUCGAUGGAAUAACCCGGCGAUCACUCCUUCACCCUCUGUCUAUUCAGUUCUCUCCAACGAAUACAAGCCUUUUUUUCACAAACGCAAGCCAAUCUGUGCAGUCCGCCCACAGUUUUCAAAUCUUCUUGCGCCUUUUCCCUUCUCACUCAUCCAAGCUUAUGGAUUGACGUCAGUGCUGGGUUCUCUAGCUGUUUGCUUCUUGGUGUUGGAUCACCAAUAGAGGGCAUUGGGCGAAGUAUGUCCCUGGACGUAUAAAAUUGCUAAGUUAGAAGAGCCGGUUCGGUGUGUGAUUCGGGUGUACAUUCUGUGACUUGAAUAUUAAUUCUUUCAGUUAACUAAUGUGAAAGUUACUAGGCGCUGUAUUGUCAAUUCCACACAGCAUUCUAGGAUUACUAUAAUUUGUAUUUCUAGCUGAUUGUGGGUCACUCUCAGGUCUCAGCAGAUACCAUACGUUUCUUCAUUCAGCAAGAACAAGAAUAUAUACUGAGUAACAAACUUGACCUGCACGCUGCGGUCCGUAUGUAUGUACUCACGGCAUUAAAAAAGGAUUGAACACACCUUCACUGGUUUACUCAUUACGGCAAUAGGAGGGCUAUAUAAAGACAUACCACCCUCCUCAUUUCUACACAUCCAUAGCAAAAAGAGUACACAAAAGCGACAGCAAAGUUGGAAACAGCAGCAGAGUAGAUCAUGGUCAGCUCCAAGGCUUUCCUCCUUGCCAUCCUUGGUUGUGCCAGCUUAUGCAGUUCUGUCCUAGCUGCUCGUGAGCUGAGCGAUGCGGCCAUGGUCGAAAGGCACGAGAAUUGGAUGGUUGAGUAUGGCCGUGUCUACAAGGAUGCAGCUGAGAAGGCACGGCGUUUUGAGGUGUUCAAGGAUAAUGUGGCAUUUGUCGAGUCAUUCAAUACCAAUAAGAACAACAAGUUCUGGCUUGGUAUCAACCAGUUUGCUGAUCUGACCAUUGAAGAGUUCAAAGCAAACAAAGGUUUCAAACCAAUUUCAGCAGAAAAGGUUCCAACAACUGGAUUCAAGUAUGAGAACUUGAGUGUCAGUGCGCUUCCGACAGCUGUGGACUGGAGGACCAAGGGAGCUGUCACACCUAUCAAGAACCAAGGCCAAUGUGGUAUGUGCAAUUGUGAUCAUACUUGAAACAGUUAAUUAUUUAUGUGGUGAUAUAUACAUGGUGGUUAAGAUCUUUUGAUGACAUGUACAAUGACACAAAUAAAUAAUUGUAGGUUGCUGCUGGGCAUUCUCGGCUGUAGCUGCCAUGGAGGGCAUUGUGAAGCUAAGCACGGGCAACCUCAUCUCACUCUCCGAGCAAGAACUGGUGGACUGCGACACCCACAGCAUGGAUGAGGGUUGCGAGGGCGGCUGGAUGGAUAGUGCCUUUGAGUUCGUCAUCAAGAAUGGAGGCCUCGCCACCGUGUCGAGCUAUCCAUAUAAGGCAGUAGACGGCAAAUGCAAGGGUGGAUCAAAGAGCGCUGCAACCAUCAAAGGUCACGAGGACGUGCCAGUGAACGACGAGGCUGCACUCAUGAAGGCCGUGGCCAAUCAACCCGUGUCUGUCGCUGUCGAUGCGAGUGAUAGGACUUUUAUGCUUUAUUCCGGUGGUGUGAUGACUGGCUCUUGUGGCACUGAGCUGGAUCAUGGGAUUGCUGCCAUCGGGUAUGGCGUGGAGAGUGAUGGCACAAAGUAUUGGAUUUUGAAGAAUUCUUGGGGCACCACAUGGGGAGAGAAGGGAUUCCUAAGGAUGGAGAAGGACAUUUCUGACAAACAAGGAAUGUGUGGCCUUGCCAUGAAGCCUUCGUACCCCACAGAGUAGAAAAACAACCAAGAGUUUGUUUCAAAAAACAUCAUCAGCUUGUAUUGAAAUCGUUAUAUGUGUGCCUUCUGCACUCCUAUACACAGUUUGUUCUUUAUGUACUGUACAUUGUACAUGUGUAACUUUUUUCAUGUUUGUGAACUUUGUAUAUAUUAUCGACAUUUGAAAUAGUAUCUUAAAGCUCCAUACAAAGUUUUGAAACGACUGUGACGCCUAAGAGGGGUUGAAUUAGACAACCUAAACUUCUGCAUGUAAAUAAAUAACUAUCUAAAAGUACAACUAUGGUUUUGCUAGGUGUGUUGCACUAUCUCUACCACAAAAGAGUUAAGCACCGUAAGCUCCAAUCCUAUCAUCAACUAGCCUAUCAAACUAAGCUAGAAAAGUAAGUACAUAACCAAGAUACACAAUAGAAAUAUAGAAGGUAAAGAUGAGGUAGAGAUGUAAACUUCCGUCGAGGACACUGGUAUUUUUACCGAUGUAUCGAGAAAUACUCAAGCUUCCCCCAAGUCCUCAUUGAAUCCCCUCGCAAGGGCCAACCACUCAGUCGGGUAAAUCUGUGGAUAGCCCUGGGCCUUCCUCACGCCAAGUGGGUCUCCAGUGUGUCUCGUGGCAAUCCUCUCCUAAACCGCUCCAUGCCGUCUUCACCAUCAAGCUUCUGACUGAAAAUGCCAUGAGCCUUGUUUCCUCUUACACACGUGGUUGGUAUGCUCUCGUAAGACUUACAAGCCUCGCUGAGUACAAACAUGGUGGACGCAAGCAUCUAAGAUCAAGUGCUGUGCCAACCUGACUAAACACUAGGCCUAAUACCUAGAGCAAGCGCAAAGCGGUGCUCGAACUUACCUAAGCACUUCGCAAAGCAUCUACACUAAUCACCAAAUAUUUCUCUAAGCACUAUGCAUGUCGAGAUCACUAAAAUAGAGUAUCAUCUCACUUUGUAUUUUUCUCGGCAACUUCACACCCCAUUUCGCCAGUUCUAACUUAUAUUUAUAGCGCACAUUGCAAAUAGAGCCGUUAGUAGGUUGGAUUGUUGGAAGCCAUUUUCUCCAUACUGUUCGACUAGUUGCUAUAGUAGCAACUACUCCCUCCAUUCCAAAUUAAGUGUCAUUUUAGGUUUUUGUGCUACAAGUUUGAUCCGAUUUAAAGAAAAUACGUGUAAUAUUUGUAUCUCCAAAUAAAUUUGUUAAAAAACUAGACUCCAAGAUCUUUCAACUAAUAUUAUUUAUGUACUUUAAAUAUUAAUAUUUUUAAUAUAUAUUUAGUUAAAAUUAUUUAUCAGAAAGCACAAAUGACACUCAUUUUGGAACUAAGGGAGUACCUAUUUUAGCAAAAAAAAACUACGCGCUGGCUGCUGGGCGGGCGCUGCUAAUUUUGUCAGGGUCGCAAGCGAGCAUGCAAGGCGGAACGGCAGCACGUCCACCUCGCCCUUGUGCAUGCACGUUGUGUAUGUUAGAAAUCAGCUCUUUGCACACAGAAACACAGGACACAGGAAACAACAAGAAUAGAGAGGAAUUGGGAGAAGUGAGAGCUCUUUCAUUCACUUUCUUUCAUAUUGCUUACAUCUGAUGAGGGUUACCUCAUAUUUAUAGAGCAUGGAGUGUGUGUGAACUCAUUGACUUUCUCUCCCUCUCUCCAUUAAUUUGGCCACACUCAAAGUCUUCCAUUCAUACACUAUUUUUAGUCUUUUUGAAGACUUUGAUUUUCAACACUCCCCCUUGGCCAAAUUUAUGCCAUGUGUAUGCCUCGUUAAAAACUCUCCCCAAAAAUCCAAUGGGAAAAAAGGGUAGGAGAAAAGAGUACAUCACACGCAUCGCUUAUGUUGCACCUGUUGCCUCGUUAAAAACCUUGCAUGAGAAAACCCAGUGGGAAAAACUCAUCAAGGAAAAAAGAGUACAACAGGUUGAUCUUCAGGACCGACUCGUGAUCUUCAGGACCACGGUCAUAGAUUAUGUCUUUGGGGCUGGUCUCCCCCUAAACCCUGCAACCCUCUAAGCCGCCUCAUACCAAUUCCAUGAAUGCACCUAUAGAAGCUAGAGGCAGAUAGAGAUUUCAUGAAAAGAUCUUUGCUUGCAGGAUAUUUAUCUUCCCGCUCUUCUGGAGCUUAUGGGGAUAAAAGAGUUUUUGGAGCAAUAUGCUUCGUGAUAUUGCUCUUGACAUAACCCAGGCACAUUUGUGCAACACAAGCCACAUUAUCUUCAUAGAUAAUGGUGGGGGUGUCGGCGACGUUCAAACCACAUGACUUCUGGAUGUGAUUGAUCAUUCGUCACAACCAAACACAUUCUUGUGCAGCCUCAUACAAAGCAAUUCUCUCUGAGUGGUUGGUCGAUGUGGCAACCAGGGUCUAUUUCAUAGACCGCUAGGAAAUGGCUGCUCCACCACAGAGAAAGACAAAACCAGUCUGUGAUCUGGCUUAUGUGGGUCAGACAUACAGCCAGCAUCCACAUAUCCCACCAUGGUUGGAGCUUGGUUCUUCGGGAACCAUAGACCAAUUUCUUGUGUACCUUGUAGGUACCUCAAGAUGGUUUUGACACCAACCCAAUGUCUCUCCUGGUUGGGGCAGCACUGUACCUUGCCAACAGAUUUACUGCAAACGCAAUGUCAGGUCUAGUGUAGUUUGCAAGGUACAUCAGUGCUCCAAUGGCGCUUAAGUAUGGAACUUCGGGUCCCAAUACUUCCUCAUCAUCACCCUUGGAUCUAAAUGGGUCCUUAUCCGCUUCCAGGGAUCAGACCACCAUGGGGGUCUUAAGAGGGUGACACUUGCUCAUAUUGAAUUUUUCAAGUACCCUCUUAGUAUAAGUGGACUGGUGUACACACACUCCUUCAGGGAGGUGUUCGAGCUGUAGGCCCAAACAAAAUUUGGUCUUGCCCAAGUCUUUCAUCUCAAACUCCGCCUUGAGGUAAGCUAUCGCUUCCUCAAUGUCCCUUGUAGUCUCGAUGAUGUUCAAAUCAUCGACAUAGACAGAGAUGAUGCAAAAUCUAUCAUUGGAUUUCUUUAUGAAAACAUAGGGACAAUCAUCAUUAUUGAUGUAACUUCUUUGCAGGAGAAAGUUACUUAAUUGGUUGAACCACAUCCUUCUGGAUUGUCUCAACCCAUACAACGACCGCUGCAGGCGGACGCUAAACAUGUUGCGAUUUUGAUUCGGUCCAGGGAUCUUUAGUCCUUUAGGGAUUCUUAUGUGGAUUCCCGAAUCAAGUGACCAUACUAGUAUGCGGUCACAAUAUCCAUCAACUGCAUUUUUAAGUUCAAGUUAGCUGCCAUAGAUAUAAGGUAUCAGAACGUUAUGCCACUCAUAACAGGAGAGUAAGUCUCAUCAUAAUCAAUGUCGGGUCUCUGCGUGAACCCUGUGCCACCAGCCUCGUUUUGUGCCAUGUUUAUUCCUCUUCAGGAGGAAGACCUAUUUGCAUCCUUCAGGGAUGACUUUGGAGGUGUUGGGACUGCAGGCCCAAGAAACCUCUUUUUCAUAAAGCGAGCGCAAAUCUGCCUCAAUUGCGGCUUUCCAUUUGUCCCAAUCUGAGUGCUUCCGGCACUCUGCCGUGGACUUUGGUUUGGAUCCGGAUCCAUUGAGCCAACAAUUUUGAGGCAAAAUAUGUGUUGACAACGGCGGUCUUUCUAUAAUAUGACUCUCUUGAUUCCGCAUAAUUAGUGACGAUCUCCUCAUGAUCGUCCUCCCACUCAUCGUGAUUUCCCAUAACGAUUGAGUUGGGGCGUUCCGAUCUUCCAAUGCGACGGUGCGCGCUUGACGCAUUGGGAUUUCCAUCUUCAGGAUGGUGUCCUUCAGGGAUCUCCUCAACUUCAGAUUGAGUUGCCACUUCAGGGGCAUUCUCCACUUCAGGUCGAGCUUCUUCAACUGAUUCUUUAAAUGAUACAAGUGGCUCAAGACCUUGUCUACAUGGACGCCUCCACGAAAUCUUGUCUGAGCACCCAGAGGUCUCCCCCUCAACCUAGGAUCAGGAUGGAGACAAUAGAGUUGGUAACCUUCAGGGGUACCCGAACUCUCUCUAGCACAUUUACUACAGGUAAAUGUGGCCUUGUCAUUUUUCUAAUUAGUGAAGGCAUUUGGCAUCUCAUUUGCAGUAAUUUUCAAAUGCAUACUUUUCUGAACUUCUGGUCCAGAUUUACUAGAAGGAAUGCAUUUAUUCCUUUUCAUGCAAUUUCUCGGCAUUCUUCUGGAUGCCUAUCUCCCCCUAAUGCUGGGAAAUGCAAUCAGCAUACUGAGCCUCAUGAAGAUCCCCAGUCAUAGGCUCAUACAUCUCAACUUCUGGUGGGGUUUCUUUGGUGUACGCUGAUAUGGCGAUACUGGCACAUAUAUCGCAUAACUUAUACGCAGAUGGGAAAUACUUUCUUUCUCACACACUAUCCAUAUGGGGGAUGUGCAGUUGACCUGAGUUGGAUAAAUUUUACAGUAUGCAAUGCUGCAUGGCCCCAACUGCUGGUUGGCAGCCUUUGAUUUUGCAGCAAUGGCCAUACAUUAUCCACUUGAUCCUUUUGAUCAAGGACUCAACUAGGCCUCUUUGUGACUCAUCCCUAAUCUUCAGGAGGGAUGGCCUAGUGAUUAACCUUCCCUUUGCACGUGCGGUGCAAAUAAAAUCUUCAGGAUUAGGGAAGUUUUUAUGGCCAAUAGAAUUAUUGAUGAUUUUCUCAUCAUAUCCAACUCAGGAUGACCCAAUUGGCCAUGCCAUAUUUCUCUAAAAUAAUAUGGCUUUUAUCACAACAUAUUUCUUAGUGGGAUUGUGUAUAUGUAGUACAAGCCCAAUGAAGGAAAUACAUCCACCACAUACUUUAAAUGCUUAUGGGAGAACUAGUGCGGCACUUCCGGUGCCCUUGAUAUGAACAUUGCUUCUGGCAAUGGUCAUAAUACUUCCAUUUCCUAGUCAAUGUUUGGAAAUAUCUAGUUUCCCUUAACAUUAUAUUGGCGGUGUCACUGUCUACAGGACAGGUUUCCACUUCAAUCAUAUGGGCUCCCACCAGGUAUGAGAAUUUGGAGAUUUGGCAUAUAAACCAACAUUCAUAACUUAUUAAAAAUGCUCUGCAGGAGCAUGCAUGGCCAUCACUCAACAUGCUAUAAAUGCUCUUCAGGAGCAUGAAUGGCCAAACUCAAUUGGUGUAUGUGGACAUUUUAUUGCGACUAACAUGAUAUCUCAGGGAUUAGCAGGUCCCUAGAUAUAUCACAGAAAUCAGGAGAAGGUUAUCCCCACUCACAUCAACUUGGAUGUUUUCAUCAUCUCUUUUCACGGUGACAAAUGUGUCUUCCACAUUUCUGAGCUUCAUGCUCAGUGGUGAGGUGGGAUUUAUGUUGACUCUCCUUGUUCUUGUUUCUGGAAGAACUUUGGCAGAGAUCAACUAGGUGUUUUAGGGGCACGACAAUUGUGGAACCUAUGUUCCAUGCCUCCACAUCUAGAACAGCGAUCCCACUGCUAAGAUGUUUCACCUGUGACCUUCUCAAAUCCGCUUUUACCCCCUUGGGAUGACACCUCUUUUCCCUUCAAUUUUCCCUUUCACGGCCCUCUUUGUGGUUGCUAGAAUUCCCAGCAACGCUAACAUGUGCUUCGGGGCACAGUUGCCGUGCAGAAUGAUCGUUCUUGAGAACCUCAUUCUAUUGCUUUUGCAACCAAUAGUACCGUUAUCAGCCUAUAGUACUUCAGGUACUUAUAUAUUGCUGAUAUAAUACUAUGUUGUCGGGAUGGAAGGUAUAAAAGAGUUUCCCUGAUCAUAUCUGCGUUAGUGAACUUCUGGCCACAUAGACGCGGUCUAGACACAAUCUUGUAUAAAGCAAAGUCGUACGCUGUUACAGACGUAUAAUAUCUAAAAUGUAAGACGAUCCAGUCAUAUUGACUUUUGUUGGUUUAAAGCGGUCCUUCAGGGACUACUAUGAAUCAUCAUCAUUUAUAUAUCCAGACUUCAGGUCUGAGUGUAUAUGGUAUUGCAAAGAGUGCAAUGCCUCUGCUUUAUCAAGUAUUGUGUGCUCAUCAUUGCCAGCUUCAGGCUGAACAAUGGUGUAAUCGAGGCACCAGCCGUCAAGUUUUCAUCUCAACGUCAAUCCCCAAGUGAGGUAGCUGCUGUCAUUCACAACUAGCUUAGCGAAUCAUAUUUUCACAAUGUCCGACCAAUGACUAGUGAAUGUCGGUUACGCGUAAUCUUCAGGAUUACGACCAUGUGUAAUCUUCAGGAUCACACAUUCUUAUAUAGUCUUCAGGACUAUAUUUCCCCAAAUAUCUCAUGCAUAUAAUCUUCAGGAUCAUAUGCGGUUCUCAUAAAUACUUGCAUAAAUAUGCAAAAAUUAAAUGACCGUAAGAAAGUAAAUUGUAGUAAAUAAAUAUGACUUGCAGUAAUAUAAAACUUGCAAUAAGAUAAACAGUCAUGUCAUGUAAGGACUUCAGGCCUUAACGAGUUUACGGGCUUCUAUCCACGUAGUGGUAUGACAUGGUGAACUGCAGGUUCACUACUUAUUGUUUGCGGGCUUCGGAUCAUAUGUGUGUGGCUUUUUAGCCUCUGUAUAUGGACCAAAAGUUCGUGGACACAAGGCUUCAGGCCUUUGUCUAGCGGCUUCAGGCCGUCUAGAUAAGUGGUCCAGUGCACAUAGAUCAAAAUAAAAAAUGUCUUUGAUUGUAAUCUUUAGGAUUACAAUUAGGUGUAAUCUUCAGGACUACACUUUUUAUUUCCCGCAUGUAAUCUUCUGGAUUACCUUUAUGGAGUAAAUACGUAGAAUUUAAAUGCAGUAAGUAAUAACAACAAUAACAAAAGAAAUAUGGUGGACUUCAGGCCACACAUGUUUCACGGACUUCGGGCCGUGUAUUUUGUAUUAUAGUGGACUUCAGGCCACCUUUUUUUACGCAAAUAAUAUGCACUGCCCAUCCUAAAUGGGUUAUCAAACCAAAAUCAUCUUUCAUGGGCCGACCAGAUCGGCCCAAUCAAUUGUGGUCGUUCAUCACGAUGGACGGCCUAGAUUCACUCUGGCCUCACAUAAAUAGGGAGGAUAAAACCCUAACCCUAUCCAUUUCUCUCCUAUUCUUUCUCUCUCUUCCUUAUCUUCUUCAGGAAGGCAGGAAGAGGAGCAGGUGGGAGGUGGCCUUGGUACGGCGGCCUGCAACGGCCAGCCCGGCACGCGGCGGCGCUCUCGGCCUGGCACGCGGCCCGCCCGCGGCCGGUCUGGCUCGCGGCGGCACCUGCGACUUGGCUCGUGGCCCGCCUGCGGCAGGCCAAGGCGCACGGCACGCGGCACGGCGGCGGCGGCCCUCGCGGCCUGCCGGCGGCCAGCCAUGUCGCGCGGACGGUAGCCGACUGGGACGCGGCCCUCUCCCAGCGGCUUAGCAGGGGAGCGCGACCCCACAUCGGGCGGCUAGGGGUGCCCGACCCCGGCAGCGUCGCGGCCAUGGCGCGGCCCGCAUGCAGCCGGCUUCGGCGAGCGGCACGGCCAGGGCCCGGCGCGGCCUCCCCCAUGGCGGCGCUGCUUCGGUGGCCGGGCCCGCGGCCGGCUCGUGUGGGCCUCGGCGGACAUAGGAGGGGGCACGUCCCCCCCCCCCCCCCGCGGCUGCAGCAGGGGCGCAGCUCCCGGCGGCGGCGCGGCCCGACCAGGGGGGAGCGCGCGGCCCCUUGGCGGGCGUGGCCGGGCGGCGCGGCGAGCCGGCCAGGGCGCGCGGCCUCCGUGGCUCGCGGCCCACCACGCAGCAAUUGCGGCCUGGCUCGCUCAUGGUCUGUACGGGGCAGCGCGAUGCCCGCAGCCUGCGUGUCGGGUCUGCUAGGUUCGCACGCAGUCUUCGGGGCGGCGUGGUUCAGCUUGCUCCUCUUUAGGAUGACGACGAUUUAGUAUUUGUACGGCACUUCGAGGCCGACGUUCGAAAGGAUGGGUUUGGCACUUCUGGGCCAUCGUUGCUUCGGACAAUCUUCUGAGUAAUGGCUUCAGGCCAUGCUCAAGGAUCACCGUGGUGCUUUCAAGCAUAUCCACUGGUGAUGAGUUCGUGAUGUGUUCGUCCAUCACGUUUGCGUGUUGUGGAACUGAUUUCUUACCUUCUUACCUUUUAGCUCGGUAGAACUCGUGCUGAUAACGUGUUAGAAAUCAGCUCUUUGCACACACAAACACAGGACACAGGAAACAACAAGAACAGAGAGGAAUUGGGAGAAAUGAGAGCUCUUUCAUUCACUUUCUUUCUUAUUGCUUACAUCUGAUGAGGGUUACCUCAUAUUUAUAGAGCACAGAGUGUGCGUGAACUCACUGAUUUUCUCUCCCUCUCUCUAUUAAUUUGGCCACACUCAAAGUCUUCCAUUCAUACACUAUUUUUAGUCUUUGUGAAGACUUUGAUUUUCAACAGUGUAUUGUUUUCUUCUUCCAUUUUUUGUAUUCCCUCCAUUCCAAAUUAUAAGUCAUUCUAAGAAUCUUAGAGAGUCAAAGCAUUUUUAAGUUUGACCAAAAAUAUAGAGAGAAAUAUAAAGAUUUAUGUCAUAAAAUAGGUGCACUAUGAAAAUAUAACUAACAAAGAAUCUAAUGAUACUUGGUUGGUGCCAAAAAUGUUAUUAUUUUGUUAUAUAAAUUUGGUCAACCUUGAAAAACUUUGACUCUCCAAGAUUCUUGGAAUGACUUAUAAUUUGGGACGGAGGGAGUAUUUAUUUCUUUGUUUUUUUUCUUUUUAUUUUUGUAUUUAUUUCUUUGCCAUCUUGCGCCGAGCUCGGCUCCCAUAUUCUUAGGACACACUGUUGUUACAGAGAGAAAAACCCUUUUCUAUCUUGAUAACCUGAAAUAAAAUGGCGGAGGAGAAGAAGGUUCCUUUUUCGGUAUCACUGGGAAGAGAUCCAUUGGAGACGUGGAUCAUCCGGAUCACAUUGUUGCCAAAGUCCAAACUAUUUGUACACCCUGUUAAACUACAAAAUAAAUAUUUGUAAAUUUAUUAGUUCAAUUCAGUCAUAUUGAUCAUCAAACACCAAAAUCAAAAUUAAAUGGGCCGAUGGUCCAUUUUCCUUAAAAGUUCCUUGAAGCCUGGAGUGUUCUUUAAAUAAUCACAUAACAUUGUGAUAAAAAUGUCCAGACCAUUUCAUACAUGUAGACUUGUAAGACCAGAUCUUCCUAUUUUAAAUACAUGACACACAAAAAUCAAUGUUGUUUGAAAUUUUUAUGUGGUGGGGUUUUCAUUUUCCUGUAUGCGCUGUGUGACUUAACCAAUACUGUAAACGAUAGUGAUGGCACGAACUAGAUAUUCAUUGAGAUAUCAUAUAUUAAUUUUCUAUUUUUUUGGCACGCAAGAGUCAUUAAUUGUAACUGCCCUUUUAUGAUAAAAGAUUGUGUGGAUUUCUUUGAGAAAAAAUUACAAUUUUGGGGUUGUAUAAGCAUCUUGUCCACAGUGAUGUAGUCGAACUAAACUUUUCUGGUUCCUUCAUACAAGCUAACAAGACUCAAACAUAGGGAUAUGUCAAGUCCUACUGUCCUAGGUAAGAGAUUCCCGAAGCUCGUGUGUACCUUCUUGCCAAAGGAUCGAGCGAAACCCAAGCAUGCCCUCGGCCCCUACUUGGGACUCAAGGGCUUACCAAGCCCUAGGCUUGUGUCCAAGGCUUACCGAGCUCUAGGCUUCCGACCAAUGCCAACCCAAGCCUCAUCCUCGGCUCCACCUCUAGUCCGAGCCAAGGGCCUGACAGGAGCCUAGCGUGACCUGACUGCCCAAGGCUCGGGGCUCCUCGUUGCCACCCAACAGGCAUGGCACUGUUGCCCAGUUCUCUGAUAAAGACAUGCAUGGGGCAUGACACAUUUGGAGAAUUCCUACCACCAACUUCAAGCGCUCAGGGGCUCCCAGGACACUCAUCAGCCCCUUAAGUCGGACACCUUCACCACCAAGAAAGCCUCCAAAAGGCGCACCCGGUGGAGGUUGAGUGUCAGAAACAGAGCAGCCAGACUUGUUCAAGGCUCCUCUGACUCCACGACAACAUAGAGGUCUAUCCACGCUGCAGCAGUGCCCUCCUAGACAACACAUUUAGACCAUAGAAUAGGACCACAAAUCGCCUUGUACUCGACCUACCACUAUUUAUAAGGUGAGGUUGGAUCCUAUUGAGGGAAGUGAUCCCAGAGGAGAGGUAGAGGGAGGUCGAACAAAAGAAAUCCAACCGAAUAGAGUCCAAGCUCUGCAACGAAAGCAUAGCCACAGAAAGGAGUAACCGAGUGCUCCUCCACCACUAUCUUUUCGCCCUCUGACAGUGAAGAAACCUCACCAUAGAUACCUAGGAUAGCAAUGAAGCAAUCCCUUUUGAAAUCUCUUACAUAGUCUUGUUGUAGCCUAAUGCUCUCAAAUACAAGGAACAUCUACCUCUAGACGUAGAGCCCUAAUAGUCCAAAUUAGGAUAAAUCCUUGUCGCUUCUAUGUGUUCUUGAUGCACCUGAACCACCAAGGAUCCACACUCAAUGACACCUGACUAACACAAUUCUGCCAUGGUUUUGAUCCCAUGAUAGUUGGCAUGCUAUGCUGCUAGUUAAGGAAGCGUGUAAGUGUGAUUCACGCUCUACAGUGGCCAGAGUCACCCGCCUCAAUGCCGAAGUAGGCGAUGCCACCCCAAACGGUAGUGUCCACCUCCCAGCGAGUUCUCCAUCACAGCCAACGCCUUCAUCCCUGGCUAGGUCCUCAACUUCGAGAGCCUAGCCUAAGUCGCUGACUGCUACAGUGAAGCUGACCCGCUCAAGGAGGCUGCACCGGUGGACAACGAGUUUCGAGAAUCAUCUCCUCUGCCGAGCCUCUUGGGAGCAGAUCUUGAGGUCCUCGCCUGGCAAAUCUGGCAUGGCCUUGGCCCGAACCACACCAUGUCAGAAUGCCACAAGAUGUUCUACAUGCUGGCCAACGUCCACUACCAGAUGACUUUUGGCAAGCUACUCUCGCCGAGCACUUCUGGUACUACCUGCCGAACCUACCACACGAGAUCUAGAAUGUCGCAACGUCCUUCUAGCUAGAGCUCGAGCACAAGCACCUUGUUAGACGGGAGGCAAGCGAGGCGCCAUCCUCUCCGGCAUAGUGGGGACCGAUUUCCCCUCCCUACACUCUUUCCUCAAGAUCCUCUCGGGGAACGGCGUCGAGUACGAUUCCGACAACAUCGACUACUACUCUCCAUUCCCUGGGUGCUUCAACACUAACGACGAGACUCUCGUUGAUGACGCCCCUAAGCUCACGCCGCCAGACAAGAGGCCUCACAUCCUCACGAAGUACCUUCAUGAGAAGGCAGUGCGGACAUGGAAGCUACCGAGGUGGAGCUCGCGAGCAGGCAGCACGGACCGACGACGCCGAUCACAUGAGGGCCCACCCGUUCGUUUGUCUUAUAAGUUGUACUUUUUCUGCGAGUCACUAGUGUUUUUCUCUCACGAUAAAUCAGCAAACAGUAUUUUCAGUCAUAGCUUUUCAGACCAGCGAACAGGCAAAAAAAAAUUAUGCCCUUACAACGUUUCAAAUGCUGCAUAAUAGUUUAUAUAUUUUUGUAUAUGGAAGAUCCCUAUUUCAUUAUUGCACUAGAGCACAGAAGCAUUUUCUAUGUAUGUAUCACAAAGUAGCACCUAUAACCCCAGACAUAAUGUAAUAUACAGUAACACAUACAAUCCACAAAGAUAUAGGAAUUAAGUAACUAAUGCAUUAACUUUGAAAACUAAUUUGAUGAAUACUUCGCCACGAAUUCACAAACAUUCUUGUCCGAGCUCCCUCCAUUCUGCAUGGCUUCCUUGGCCUUUUGCAUCCACAUAGUGGCGUUCAUCCUAUAAUUAUCCUUUCUAUCCCCAUCCAUAACAUCCUUGAUGCACCUUUCCACCUCGUCUCUCGUCACCAAGCCUUUCUCAUCCUUGCGCACCCGGACACCCAAUCCCCAUAUGCUCUCCAUAUAUUUUGAUAUGGUCGGCUGGUCUGCCCAGUGUGGUAUUGCCACCAUUGGCACACCAUUAACUACUGCUUCCAGCGUCGAGUUCCAUCCGCAAUGUGUGAAGAAACAACCUGCAUAUUAAAAGUAUGCAACAACUAAAUUUUAUAUUUCUUAUCAAUAAGUCUCAUUUUCUCUUAUAUGUAGAAGAAUAUCCAUUUCCCAUACCUGUGGCUUUAUGUGCUAGAACUUCGAGCUGGGAGCACCAAGAAACGAUAAGGCCACGUUCCUUGCACUUGGCACGAAGUUCAUUGGACAAUUUGUGUUCUUCGUUUGACCUCACAACCCAAAUGAAUGGUUUGCCAGAAUUGUACAAUCCAUUGCCCAGCUCUUCUAACUGUGCUUCAUCAUAAUCAGAGACAGUACCAUAGGAUACAAGAACUACAGAACAUGGAAGCUGCUUGUCAAGCCAAUCCAGACAAGACUCGCUGCUGUUGAAGAGGUUGAAACCGUAACUCUUGUUCAACGGCAAGCGGUCAUCAUCAAGAUAAAAUGAUGGCAAGGUUGGGCCUAUUGUCUUUGCACGCCACGUUAGUGCCAUAUAAUCUGCCUCCUGCUCAGUUAACAAUGCAAAUGUGUCAAAAGAAGAGAAUCAAUCUUAUGAUGGUGAAGUGGAAUCAAAGGAUCACAACAAACAGACCAAUCAUCGAUUAUUCAGUAAAGAAGCAUGACUAUGGAAGAAUCUUGACGUUUGUAUCUAUAAGGAAAAACAGAGUACGUACAAGCAGCACCGAAAAUUCACUUGAGCAAAACAACAAACAGGUGCCGGCCGUGGUCAUGCAUGGUGAGCUCACCUUGGGUUCGAUCUCGUGGAAUGAGUUGACGAGCACGUCGUCGGCGUCCUCCAGCCCCUCGAACUGCCGCGUGCACGCCUCAAGGAACACAGGGCACCAGUCCGGCUUCGCCGCGAACGGCGGCACCUCGUCGGGCCCGAGCUCCACACCCAGCAACCCGCGCGCAAACAGCUCUUUCCCGUCCACCACCGGCAGUGGCAGCCGCCCCGCCCACACCUCCCCGUAGACGACGUCGACGGCGCAAGGCUGCGACAGGAACGCCGCGGUCGGCACCCCAGCCGCCUUCGCCACGCGCCGCGCCCACGGCAGGUGCGGGUCGUAGACCAGCACGCGCACGGGGCGACCCUCGGCAGCCUCGGAGCGGAUCAGCUCCGCCAGCGUCUCCGAGCCGACGGCCUCGAGCUGGCGCCAGUACACUUCAACGUCGGAGCACGCGGCCGCGCCGCCGUCGUCGAAGCCGUCGGAGAUGGCGGCCACCCUGAAGGGCUCACCUGGUGGCGGGGUGGUGGAGAGCACGUACCGGGAAGUGACGAGCGUGGGGUGGAAGCCGUGGUAGGCGAGGCGGCGGCCGAACUCGAGCAGCGGGUUCGUGUGGCCCUGCGCGCCUGGGUACGGCAGGAGCAGCACGUGUGCGCCGCCGCCGCGGGUAGCAGAGGAGGAAGAUGAGGUGGUGGUGGUGCUCGUGCUCCCCAUUGUUUGCUGUCUUCGGCUCUUCGCAAUGAACACAGGCUGGAGUUUGCGAAACAAUAAAUAGGCGUUGUUUGUUCCUUGCGGUGGAGGUGGGCAGGUGGCGUGGCGCGCAAGUUUUUUUUGGUUCAGUUGGAAAGUUGGAGUUGAUUUGGAGUUGUCUGCCUUCUUUUUUUUUUCUGCCGCCAAGCCAACAAUAAGGUAGAGCCUCAAGCACCCAGCUUUUCUUUCAGAACCCAGAUGGAUCGGAUGGUUCCUGUCAUCUUCUACCUCGGAGCAUCUUCAAGAGUUUUCCAAACCCAGUUCUAAUCUUGAUUUUUUGCAAUUGAGUAAAAUGCGCUGUCAUUAUAUAUAAGUCGUUUUGGCUCUUAAUCAUGUGCACCACUAGCUAUCUAAACCUAGAUAUACUCUGAGUACAAGUGCAUUGAUGAUUGAGUGAAUCUCGACAUUUAAUCUUGCUCCUAGAACAACACAUAAAGAGGGACAGAGGGAGUAGAUAGUUCAUUAAUUUGUGAGGGUUUAUCGAUUUGGUCAAUCAAGUUUGAAAGUGCAUUUUUUGUCUAAAAUCUUGAUUAGUGCUACAUAUAGAGUUUAUACCCCUUCAUUUUAUAUUUAUAUAUUUUUUUAGAAAAUCCUCUAUACCUUUUUUUCUUUCACAAGUCGAGGCUGCGCUCCCGCUCGUCCAGCACGCCACACCUGCCUGCAUGGAUGUAGAAGUGCUGCGUGUGGUUGUUGUUCUGGGAGCUGCAUGUGGGCAGCAUGGUCGUGCUGGCGUCCAUGUUUGAGUUGGCGUUGGAGCCCUUUUGCAUCCACAGAGCCACGAAGGUGAAGUCCUACGUGGCAGACUUCAAUCUGGUAUUGGAGCACUUCUACAUCCACAUGGACGGUCGUGGUGUGCUGGACGAGCUGGAGCACUGUCUUGAUUUGUGAAAGGAAAAUAAAUACUCAAGGUUUUCUACAAAUAUAAACAAAAACAAAAAAGGUAUGGACUCUUUAUGCAACUGAUCAAGAUUUUAGAUCUAAAAAUGCACUUCUAAAUCUGAUGAACUAAAUCGACACACCCUCACAACUUAAUGGACUAUCCAUGCAUUUUACUUGUUGAAAAAAUUGCUCUCAUAUAACUCCCUAUCUCAAUUCCUAAUCUUUCUACACUUUGAAAAAUUGAUGCACGCCUCGAUAGGUUAGGAUGAAGAUGAAUGUGGGAAAGAAUAUGGAGUAGGACCAGGCUCUUGGUAUGAACAUACAAGAGACAAAAAAAAUGUAUAAAAACGAUUAUGGUGAUUCCAAAAUAGUCCGGGUUUCUUUGUAACAUUGCUUUUUAUAUAUUUUAUGAGUCAUAUUUUGAAAACUGCUGGAGCAAAUAUGCUCCUAGUUUUUUGAGCCACAUGGAAAACUCAUUAGUUUACCAAUUGUUUUUUAGAAUAAUUGGAGAUGCUCUUAUAUGUUAUUCUUUGACAUUUGUCUUAUGCAGUUCAACUGAGCUAUCGCCGACCGUCGCGUUUCAGAAAACGAAAUUGGAAGCUUAAGUCCUUUUAUAAAUCACGUUGUUUCCCCCAACAUUUGAAAUUGAAAACCGUUGCAUUCAGACUACUUUCGGCCUUGUCACUUUCAGUUUCAAAUAUUAUAUAUAUUGGCUUGGAUUUGUCCUGUCCUCUGCAAUUCAUCUAGAGAUGACUUGGAUAUAUAUGGCCUUGUUUAGAUGCGAAAAGAUUUUGGAUUUCGCUGCUGUAGCACUUUCGCUUGUUUGUGGCAAAUAUUAUCUAAUUAUAAACUAAGUAGGAUCAAAAAAUUCGUCUCGCGAUUUACAGGUAAACUAUGCAAUUAGUUUAUAUUUUUAUUUAUAUUUAAUGCUUCAUGUAUGUGUCGAAAAAUUCGAUAUGACGGAAAAUUUUAAAACUUUUUGAUUUUCAGGAUAAACUAAACAAGACCAUGGACGGAAACAUACCUCAAAGGUAGAAUGCUCAUUCCAAACAAGUCCCUGGAUAGGAAGCAACUAGGAAGCGACGGCUAGCCGGCCCAACUGCUCGGCAUGCAGGAUGCACGUGCGCCUAGUUUAAAAGUCAACGCAGCUUUGCUCAGUCCACGCAAAGUUAAUUUUCUGACCUUGAGGGACGGCAGGAGACGAAGAACCUUGCGCGCCACUCCGUUGACACACACCCGGCCACCCACACUUACUCACAAUUCCAAAACUUUUCAACAUUUUCUGUUACAUCAGAUCUUACGGCACAUGCAUAGAACAUUAAAUAAAAAAUAAAUAAUUAUAUAGUUUGCUAGUAAUUUGUAAGACGGAUUUUUUAAGUAUAGUUAGUCUAUGGUUGGACAAUAGUUACUAAAUACAAACGAAAAUGCUACAGCACAAAAAAAAUUCACCCAAGGAACUAAACAAGGCCUAGAUGAAAAAUUUUGGGUUUAGCUACUAUAGCACUUUCAUUUGUAUUUGACAAUUAUUGUCCAAUCAUGAACUAUGGGCUCAAAAGAUUCGUCUCGUAAAUUACACGAAACUAUGCAAUAAGUUAUUCUUUUAUCUAUACCAGGUAAAUGCCCGUGCAAUGCAACGAGAACACAAAAUAUCAUGAUAACAUAUGUAUGAGGGUGUUCAAGAAAGAUAGAUAUUUAACUCUAACUUUGAAUACAAAACUAAAACAUUAACUUUAAUUAUCUAUAACGUAAGAACUUAUAUUGCAACUAUGAUAAUUAAACAUUAAUAUAAUAUUAUAAAAGUCUUUAAUAAUAGGUUAUUGUUAUAUAUAAUUUGUACAUCCAAUCAGUAACAUGUCAGCUAAUCAUAACUAAUUGUCUCUCAUUUCUUUGUGACCUCCUCUAUUAUUUGAAAGAACAGAAAUAUUUGAAACAUACACACGUGUAUAUUUGAUGCAACAUUAUAAUAUUGGCUUUUUCUUGCACCGUUCCGAAACAACGUACGGCCUUAUUUAGAUUGCUUCAAAAUUCUAAAUUUCCACAUUUUCUCCAUCACAUCAAAUCUUUUGACACAUGCAUGGAGCAAUAAAUAUUGUCAAAAAAGUAACUCAUUGCACAAUUUGCUUGCAACAAGAGACUAAUCUUUGGAACCUAGUUAGUCCAUAAUUGGACGCUAAUUGACAAAUACAAAAGAAAGAACUACAAUAGCAAAAUUUUUCCAAAUUUGCAAUUUAGUUGUAGCAUUUUGUAGUAUGCUCCUCUUUCAAGGUCACAACAUGCAAAGUGGGGCGCAACAAGCUGGGUGUUGGGCUGGCGCUGCGGCCCACCAAGACCCACCGAUCGGAGGGCCGAACAAGAGCAUUACCAGCGAGCGAGCGAUUGGUCGGGUGAACGAUUUACUUUCACCCCUUUUAGUAGUAGGAUAAUUGACAAAUACAAAAGAAAGUGCUACAAUAGCAAAUUUUUCUAGAUUCGCAACCUAGUUGUAGCACUUUGCAGUAUGCUCCUCUUUCAAGGUCAUAGCAUGCAAAGUGGGGCGCACCAAGCUGGGUGUUGGGCUGGCGCUGCGGCCCACCAAGACCCGCCGAUCGGAGGGCCGAACAAGAGCAUUACCGGCGAGCCAGCGAAUUGGCCAGGUGAACGAUUUACUUUCACCCCUUUUAGUAGUAGGAUAAUUGGCAAAUACAAAAGAAAGUGCUAUAAUAGCAAAAAUUUUCCAGAUUCGCAACCUAGUUGUAGCACUUUGUAGUAUGCUCCUUUUCAAGGUCACAGCAUGCAAAGUGGGGUGCACCAAGCUAGGUGUUCGGAUGGCGCUACGGCCCACCAAGACCUACCGACUGGAGGGCCGAACGAGAGCAUUACCGGCGAGCGAGCGAUUGGCCGGGUGGAUGAUUUACUUUCACCCCUUUUAGUAGUAGGAUAAUUGACAAAUACAAAAUAAAGUGCUACAAUAGCAAAUUUUUUCCAGAUUCGCAACCUAGUUGUAGCACUUUGUAGUAUGCUCCUCUUUCAAGGUCAUAGCAUGCAAAGUGGGGUGCACCAAGCUAGGUGUUGGGCUGGCGCUGCGGCCCACCAAGACCCGCCGAUCGAAGGGCCGCACAAGAGCAUUACCUGCGAGCGAGCGAUUGGCCGGGUGAAUGAUUUACUUUCACCCCUUUUAGUAGUAGGAUAAUUGACAAAUACAAAAUAAAGUGCUAUAAUAGCAAAUUUUUUACAAAUUUGCAACCUAGUUGUAGUAUUUUGUAGUAUACUCCUCUUUCAAGGUCACAACAUGAAAAGUGGGGUGCACCAAGCUGGGUGUUGGGCUGGCGUUGCAGCCCACCAAGACCCGCCAAUUGGAGGGCCGAACGAGAGCAUUACGGGCGAUCGAGCGAUUGGUCGGGUGAACGAUUUACUUUCACCCCUUUUAGUAGUAUAAGAUAAUUGACAGAUACAAAAGAAAGUACUAAAAUAGUAAUUUUUUUUCCAAAUUCGCAACCUAGUUGUACCACUUUGUAGUAUGCUCCUCUUUCAAGAUCACAUCAUGCAAAGUGGGGUGCACCAAGCUGGGUGUUGGGCUGGCGUUGCGGCCCACCAAGACCCGCCAAAUGGAGGACCGAACGAGAGCAUUAUGGGCAAUCGAGCGAUUGGUCGGGUGAACGAUUUACUUUCACCUCUUUUAGUAGUAUAAGAUAAUUGACAGAUAUAAAAGAAAGUACUAAAAUAGUAAUUUUUUCCAAAUUUGCAACCUAGUUGUACCACUUUGUAGUAUGCUCCUCUUUCAAGAUCACAUCAUGCAAAGUGGGGUGCACCAAGCUGGGUGUUGGGCUAGCACUGUGGCCCACCAAGACCCACCGACUGAAGGGCUGAACGAGAGCAUUACCAACGAGCGAGGGAUUGGCUGGGUGAACGAUUUACUUUCACCCCUUUUAGUAGUAUAGGACAAUUGACAAAUACAAAAGAAAGUACUACAAUAGCAUUUUUUUUCUAAAUUUGCAACCUAGUUGUAGCACUUUGUAGUAUGCUCCUCUUUCAAGGCUACAACAUGCAAAGUGGGGUGCACCAAGCUGGGUGUUGGGCUGGCGUUGCGGCCCACCAAGACCCGCCAAUUGGAGGGCCGAACGAGAGCAUUACGGGCGAUCGAGCGAUUGGUCGGGUGAACGAUUUACUUUCACCCCUUUUAGUAGUAUAAGAUAAUUGACAGAUACAAUAGAAAGUACUAAAAUAGUAAUUUUUUUUUCCAAAUUCGCAACCUAGUUAUACCACUUUGUAGUAUGCUCCUCUUUCAAGAUCACAUCAUGCAAAGUGGGGUGCACCAAGCUAGGUGUUGGGCUAGCACUGCGGCCCACCAAGACCCACCGACUGAAGGGCUGAACGAGAGUAUUACCGACGAGCGAGGGAUUGGCUGGGUGAACGAUUUACUUUCACCCCUUUUAGUAGUAUAGGACAAUUGACAAAUACAAAAGAAAGUACUACAAUAGCAAUUUUUUCUAAAUUCGCAACCUAGUUGUAGCACUUUGUAGUAUGCUCCUCUUUCAAGGCUACAUCAUGCAAAGUGGGGUGCACCAAGCUGGGUGUUGGGUUAGCGUUGCGGCCACCAAGACUCGCCAAUUGGAGGGCCGAACGAGAGCAUUACGGGCGAUCGAGCGAUUGGUCGGGUGAACGAUUUACUUUCACCCCUUUUAGUAGUAUAAGAUAAUUGACAGAUACAAAAGAAAGUACUACAAUAGUAAUUUUUUUCCAAAUUCGCAACCUAGUUGUACCACUUUGUAGUAUGCUCCUCUUUCAAGAUCACAUCAUGCAAAGUGGGGUGCACCAAGCUGGGUGUUGGGCUAGCACUGUGGCCCACCAAGACCCGCCGACUGGAGGGCUGAACGAGAGCAUUACCGGCGAGCGAUGGAUUGGCUGGGUGAACGAUUUACUUUCACCCCUUUUAGUAGUAUAGGACAAUUGACAAAUACAAAAGAAAGUACUACAAUAGCAAUUUUUUCUAAAUUCGCAACCUAGUUGUAGCACUUUGUAGUAUGCUCCUCUUUCAAGGCUACAGCAUGCAAAGUGGGUUGCAUCAAGCUAGGUGUUGGGCUGGCAUUGCGGCCCACCAUGGCAAGGUGAACGAUUUACUUUCAUCUUUUUUAGUAGUAGGAUUUAAUGUUUUACAUAUGCGUACAAAGAUUCAAUGUGACGAAAAAUUUUGGAUUUUUUUUAGAACUAGACAAGGCCCAACACGUAUCAUUGUAUUAACCGCCGCCCUGAUGCUACCAACACAAACAAGUGCACUCGCUGCAAGAAGACACAAGCGAGCGAACAGAUGGAGCCAAUGAGCGGCCACAGGGAGCCACGCGCCGAGGCUACAGGGAUUCAGUGUCACAAAUGUAACUUACCUCCUCCAUCUAUACCUCUAAAUCAGAUGUGGCUCAAAACAGAUUCAGCCUUUCAACACAUGAGACUUGGGCAUAUAAAACCAAAAACUUUCGACAUAUGAGACUUGGGCUUGUCUCUCAAGUAACUACGGAGAAUAUCCUUAUAUAUUGGAUUUUCCUUUCCUAAACAAACCAACUCAAAUCUUCUAAUAUAUCCAUACUCCUUAUUAUUUUCUAAUUCCUUCGUGGAAGGUAACACCGUACCGAGCCGCUGCUACAGCCAGCAUCGGCGCUGGGCGUCCGCGCGCCCCUUCCUGGGCUGCCGCUUAAUUGGCCCAUUGGACACAGGCUGCGGUGGCGCCCCAUUAUGCGCGUGACAUGCAUAAUAAAUCCAUUCGUGUGCGAUCUGUUUCAUCCACACUGCCUUAGAUUGGAUAGCCCUGUUUGGCAUUGCUGCAUUUAUAGAUUCAACAAAGUGAUUUAAACAUUUAAAAAUCUAAAUAUAAACAAAUUGAUUCAUCUAAAUGUUCAUUUUUUAGAUCUACAAGGAAAUCUAUACAUUUCCUAAUCUAAAGCAAUGCUAAACAGAGGCCUAACGGUGACAACUUCAUUUUGGACAUACUAUAGGUCCUAGACUCUCCCUCAAUGACUAGACGUGUGAACCAAUUUCUCAUAAGGUAGUCAAUUGAUCAAUUUAAAAAUAUGCAGUUGCAGCCAAAAAAACCUGUUAGAUAUUGGCUACUUGUGGGCUAUGAAUUCCUCUCGAUUACAAAGACGAGCAGACAAAAUAAGAACACAAACUGGAGAAUGACUUAAACCACUUUUGUGAAACCUAGCACUAACCAAAGCAAAAGAUUUAGAUAUUCCAAAAUCCAAAAGGUGCUAAGUCUUCCAAACUUUUAAGAGCUAAUUAUAGGAGAAAAUGGUAACAGCUCAAAGACGACCUCAGACAUGUCACUGACUGACUAAGACUUGUCCGCGUACCGACAAAAGAAAUAUCCAAUGUGAUCAGAGGACAAUUAUGCCUUCCAUUCUACAAGACUUAGCAGUAGGCGCUAUAGUAUGUGAUCAGAGGACAAUUAUGCCUUCCCUUCGAUCUACUGCUACGGUAGAAGUUUGGCUGAUCAGGCGUAGACCACCUUUUUGAAAGACUUGCAUAUUUCAAGCAUGGAAUAGACAAAAGCAAGAGGCUCAUGCGCGUCGAGCUGCCAAAUCUGACGAGUUCAGUGUUGUUCUUUCAUGACACCACAUAAAGCAUCCGGUGACCAACCAACCAGUUCUACUGUCAAGUCUGAAGACUCCAAAACGCUGAGAGGUGCCAGUGGAAGUAGGAACUCAUAGACAAACCACAGUAAACAAUAAUGGCUCCUCUCUGAUAGAAAUUUAGGAUCGUCUAGCAGUAAAACAGAUCGGGAUUCGAGUACAACAACACGUAGCAAAUGAACAUAGACAAUAGUACUACACAUACAUGCACUAGAUCUACUACACAUAGAGAGAAACAGGGAGAUUUAGGAGUUUAGGAUUAGACCAUUGUGUCGAGCAGUAGGCGCUGCUCCGGCAGUGUCCAUGGUGUCGGAGUUGAUGCAGUUACGGAUUAGUCCCGUCGUCCUUCGGGCCUCCACGGGCACUGACCGACGACAGGGAAGGAGUAGGAGGGUGCAGUGGUGCUUCCCAACGCCACUGCGCACUGCUUGUCGAUCGGCGACCUAGGGUUGUGAGUAGGGUUUGGCGGCGCACGACGAAUCUCGUGUCGUGUGCCUGUAGCCCCCUACUCCUAUUUGUAUGGUGCAGCACGUCGGGGGCCCACCAACCAUAGAUCGGUUGGGCGCCCCCGAUCAGGGCGCAAUCCAGGGGAAAAGGCCCCAGCCGUUGGGCUAGGCCUGAGAUCAAUCUAACAUUCUCCCCCUUGAUCUCAUCUGUGCUCUCUCGCUUCGUCAACCCACCCCAUCACAAAUCAGUGUAUUGAGCAUGUUUCAUCUUAACAAUUAUCACUAUUAGAUUAGACAGCCACAAACACUUUUCUGUUUAGAGAUGAAUUCUCGCCUUGGGCCCCUUGCUAUUCGGGAAUCACAGGCUUUCCCUUAAACCUAUGCCGGCUACAUGUUCUCUGAACACAUUGGACGGUAAGCGUUUCGUACGCGGAUCCGCUAACAUCUCUUGUGUGCGUAUAUGUUCAAGACUUAUGACGUGAUACCGGAUUUUAUCCUUCACAACAUAAUAUUUUAUGUCAAUGUGCUUGGCAGCAUUGCUUGACUUAAUGUUGUGAGCAUACAACACUGCUGGCUCAUUGUCAUAAUACAACUUUAGUGGUUUAUCGAUGCUGUCGACCACCUUUCAACUGGGUAUAAAUUUCUUAAGCCAAUUCACCUGUCCUGAUGCCUCAUAACAAGCAAUAAACUCAGCGUACAUUGUGGACGAUGCAGUGACUAUUGUUUGUUUUGAGCUCUUCCAUGAUAUGGCUCCUUGCGCGAGAGUGAAUAUAUACCCUGAGGUAGACUUUCUAUCAUCUCCUGCGUAAUCAGAAUCUGACUUAAGACUUUCUUUACUAGAUUCCAGUGUUCCAUACCUGGAUUACUUUGAUAUCUGCCAAGCAGCCCGGUCACAAAAGUCAGGUCUGGUCGUGUGGACACUUGAGCAUACUGUAAGCUUCCGACAACUGAAGCGUAUGGAACAGCUUGCAUGCGAUCGCGCUCGAACUUGCUCUUGGGACAUUGAUGUCCCCAUACUUGUCACCUUUUACAAUAGGAGCAGGUGAAGGUCUACACUUAUUCAUAUUUAAUUUCUUCAAUACUUUCUCUAUAUAUGCCUCUUGGGACAAUCCCAAUACCCCUCGACUUCUAUCUUGGUGAAUCUUUAUGCCCAAGACAAAAGAAGCUUCACUAAAUCUUUCAUAUCAAAAUUUGAGGACAAAAACCUUUUGGUUUCCUAUAGUAGAGUGACAUCACUACUCGCCAGUAGAAUGUCAUCUACAUACAGUACUAGGAAAAUGUAUUUCCCAUUCUUGAACUUUGCAUAGACGCAAUUGUCCUCAACAUUCUCCUUAAACCCAAACUUUCUGAUUGUCUUAUCAAACUUCAAAUACCACUGUCUGGAUGCUUGCUUUAAUCCAUAAAUGGAUUUCUUCAGGCGACAGCCCAUUCUUUCUUUGCCAGUCACAACAAAACCUUUCGGUUGUGCCAUGUAUACUCUUUCUUCUAGAUCCCCAUUGAGGAAUGUUGCUUUUACACCCAUUUGAUGCAAUUCUAGAUCAAAAUGUGCCACUAGGGCCAUUAUGAUUCUAACAGAGUCCUUGCUCGAGACGGGAGAGAAUGUUUCAUUAUAAUCUAUCCCUUCUCGCUGAGUAAAAUCCUUGGCUACCAGUCUUGCUUUGUACCUUUCUAUGUUCCCUUUAGAGUCACGUUUCACCUUGUAGACCCAUUUGCCGCCUACUGUUUUGGCUACUUUAGGAAUUUCCUCUAGGUCCCAAACAUUAUUGGUACUCAUAGACUUUAAUUCAUCUUCCAUGGCUUCUUGCCACUUAGAUGCUUCAGUGCUCCUCAUGGCUUCUUCAAAUGAAGUGGGUUCAUCCUCCAUCUGAACUUCUUCGCAUUCAUAGACUAUGUAGUCAUCUGAAAUAGGAGACUUUCUCGCUCUUUGAGGUCUGCCAAAAGGUUCCACUACUGGCAUUUCUUCUUCUUGGGGUUGCUCUUGUUGGGGUUGCUGUUCAUCGACUAUGGGUUCAUUUGGCUCUUGAAGGAUAGGUUCCGAAUUAGCCGUAGGCGAAAAAGCAGCAGGUGUUGUCACUACUGGUGUAGAUCCAACAAUAACAGACAGCGUGAAGUAGGGUUCCUGCACCAUAGGAAUGGGCACGAACACCCGCUUCUCUUCAAGGGUGAUUUCUCGCGCUGCUUUGCUCCCCUUGAUCAUGUGAUCUUCUAGGAAACUAGUGUCUCAUUUCCACAAACAUGGUAUGUCUACCAGGGCAGUAGAAACGAUAACAUUUUGAAUUUUCUAGAUAGCCAAUGAAAUGGCAACUUACUGUUUUGGGGUCUAGCUUUCCUAUGUUUGGGUUAAAUACUUUUGCUUCAAUAGGACUCCCCCAGACACGCAAAUGGUUGACUGAGGGUUUCCUACUGGUCCACAACUCAUACAGUGUUUUAAAGGCCCCCAUCCACAAACUCAGUGGCAGAGUGGAAUAGCUCAUCAUGUUGCGCACCAUAUCCAUUAGAGCACUGUUACGCCUUUCUGCUACUCCAUUUUGUUGUGGGUCGCCCGACAUUGAAUACUGGGCUACUAUGCCAUUUUCCUUGUAAGAACCUUGCAAAAGGUCGAGAGACUUGUCCAUAAGGGGUAUGUUGACUGUAGUACUCCCCCCCCACGGUCAGAUCUUACUACUUUGAUUUUUCUAUCUAGUUGAUUUUCAACCUCAGCCUUGAAUAUCUUAAACUUGUCUAAAGCUUAUGAACGUUCUUUGAUUGGAUAGAUAUAUCCAAAACGAGAGUAGUCAUCUAUGAAUGUGAUGAAGGAAUCAAAACCAUCAACAGAUGUCACUGGAAAAGGUCCACAGAUGUCUAUGUGGAUCAAUUCUAGUACUCUCGUGCUUCGCUUAGCGCCUUUCUUUAUGUUCUUUACUAACUUGCCUUUAAUGCAAUCAACGCAUUGCUCUAACUCUGAGAGUUCUAGUGGUGGGAGGAUUGAUUCUUUGACUAAACGUUCUAUUCUCCCCCUCGAAAUAUGGCCUAAACAACAGUACCAUAAUUUUGAUGAGGAAUCAAUUCUCUUUCUUUUCUUGCUUGCAUCUGCAGAUAUUGCAUUCUUAGCGUUAUUACAUUCAGCAUUCACAUUCUCAGACACAGAUAAUAAAUAAAGUUUGUCUUGUUAGAAGGCAAGACCCACACAUUUAUUAUUUAACUGUAGCUUACAAUCAUUCUUGCUGAAAUGGCAACCAAAACCAUAGUCUGACAAACAUGAAACUGAAAUUAAAUUUCUAGCUAAAGAGGGAACAUAAAGAACAUCAUGCAACUCAAGUGUGAAACCACUAGCUAAAUCUAGAGAUAAAUUUCCUAUAGCUUGAACUUCAGCUUCAACUCCAGUGGCCACCUUAAUCUGUCUUUCUCCUCUUUAAAGGGUUCUCCCUCCAUUGAAUCCCUGCAAAGAGUUUGUAACAUGAACAGUUGCACCUGAGUCAAACCACCAUGUGGAUCUUGCAUAACUUAGAUAUAAGGAUUCAUCAACAAAAGUUAUAAUGUCCUCACCUUUUACUAGGCAGUGUCUCAUGAACUUAGGGAAACCAUGCUUCCAAUGCCCUGUCUCAUUGCACCAUCUACAGCAAUCCGGUUCCUCCUGCUUCUGCUGGUUGUCUUGCUUUGGCUGUGCUUUGUGUUGUGAAGAGCUUCCUCCCUUAUUAUGAGAGGUGGAGGCAUCUGGAGCUUUCUUGUUGUAGAAUGGUUUCUUGUUCUUUCCUUUCACAAAGUUCAUAGAACCACCAUUUGCAUUCUUUAGCCUUUCUUCCUCUUGCACACACAUAGCAAUCACCUUCUCUAAAACCCACUCCUCUGGUUGUGUGUUGUAGUUAACAACAAAUGUCUCAUACUCUUUGGGAAGUGAGUUUAGAACUAGGUGAAUGAUGAAACCAUCUGCGAGGGGCAUCUUUAGCUUCUCUAACUUAGCUGCCAUGGUGCUCAUGCUCAAAAUGUGCUCUCUCACACUACCCCCUAUCAACCUCAUGUUAGUGAGUUUAUGAAUCAGGGUGGAAGCAUGAGCUUUUGUGGAACCAGGGAACUGAUUCUUCACUUUCUCAAGGUAUUCUUUUGUUGUGUCACAUUCUAGGAUGGCAUCUCUUAAGCCCUCUGUGAUGGUUUUCUUGAUGACAAUCUUGCACUUGCAGUUUAACUUUUCCCAGUUGUACUUCUCAAGAUCAUACUUUGCUCUAAUAGGAGCAUAGUCUCGCUUCCGAUUAGCAAAAGCUUCAUCGGUCUCAUUCUAGGCCCUUUCGGGCUCCUCUGGCUCAGUGGGCUUUGGCUCCUGAAGAGCCAAAUCUAUCUCAACAAGUGCUAGAGCAGCAUCAAGUUCUUCGCGCCAGAGAACAUAGUUCUGCCCUGUCAGCUUUAGGAUUGCACUAAUGAAGUGCAUCGCAUUCAGCACUUGGUCUGAAAUUAAACAUGAGAAAACAGUGAGAACAUUAACAUUAAAACUAGGAAAGAUAAUUGCAUAUCUUAAUUUAACGUUGGUCAAAAUCAAGGUAUACAAAAAUUGACUCUCUACAUAAAUUCUAAUCACCGUUGGGCAGAAUAAAAUAAAUGCAUAAAAAUGAGAACUUGGAAUUUGCAAUAUUGCUAUUAUUAACGUUGGUCAAAAAAUAACAAUAUUACAAAAAUUCUGAGCUUUAAAACUCGGUUUCUCAAAUUAAAUAUCCCGUUGGUUCAAUUUAAUAUGAGAAUAUAUAACUUGCGCAGCUGAAAACAUUAAUCAACUUGCUAUUUUUUAGAAGCAUAACUUGCUGACCUUGCUCUCUAAAUAAUAAACACGUUGGUGCAAUUAAAUAGAGUUUAAAAACUGGGCAAAACAAUUAUUUAAAUGCUUCUGAAAAAUUAAAUAGAAAAUUGGAAACGGUCAAGCGCGCGUUUCGGGAUAUCAAAACCGUCGGCUCGCCGCCCCUCUGGAAAACCCUAGAGCUUUCUAGCUUCUCUCAGCGCGCAUCACACAGCCACCGCCUCUCUCUGGCCGGUGCGCCGUACGGCACUGAGCGCCGCCGGUGUCUGGGCCUUUUCUCUCUCUCCCAAAACCCUAGUUCUUGCUCUCUACCUCCUCUCUUUCCAGCUCGCCCAGCAGCAGAGCUGCCGCCUUCGGGAACCAUCACCAUGGAUAGACUUGGCUAGAGGAAGGGAUUGGCGCCACCCGUCGAUCCCCUCGACGGCACGUGCGUCCGCCUGUUGCAGGGCGCGCCGCCGUCGAGUGGUUCGGCGGUGGUGCCCGCGUCACUCGCGCUGGCCUUGCUCGGCUCCUGCGUGCCGACGAGCGGCGGCGCAACCAUGGCGGUGAGUGAGAGACCCAGGUAGGUCUCCUUUCUCGUCGAGUCUUGCUUUUUUUUUCUUUUCUUGAUCUGGAUUUGUUGAUCAAAAUCGGUGUACUGGUUCUUGCUAGGGUUAGGUUUUUGGGAAAAUUUCCCCACUUUCUUGCUGUGAUUGCUUUGCGAUUUGAAUCCCAAAUCCGAUCUAUAUACUAGAUUGGCUCUGGUACCAUUGAUAGAAAUUUAGGAUCGUCUAACAGUAAAACAGAUCGGGAUUCGAGUACAACAACACGUAGCAAAUGAACAUAGACAAUGGUACUACACAUACAUGCACUAGAUCUACUACACAUAGAGAGAAACAUGGAGACUUAGGGGUUUAGGAUUAGACCAUCGUGUCCAGCAGUAGGCGUUGCUCCGGCAGUGUCCAUGGCGUCGGAGUUGAGGUAGUUACGGAAUAGAUCCCGUCGUCCUUCGGGUCUCCACCGGCACUAACCGACGACGGAGAAGAAGUAGGAGGGCGCAGUGGUGCUUCCCGACGCCACUGCGCACUUGUUGAUCGGCGACCUAGGGUUGUGAGUAGGGUUUGGCGGCGCACGACAAACCUCGUGUCGUGUGCCUGUAGCCCCCUACUCUUAUUUAUAUGGCGUAGCGCGUCGGGGCCCCACCAACCAUAGAUUGGUUGGGGGCUCCCGAUCAUGGCGCGAUCCAGGGGAAAAGGCCCAGCCGUUGGGCUGGGUCUGAGAUCAAUCUAACACUCUCCUCUUGCCUUCCUCCUCCUGCUACUGCCAUCGCCAUAUGUGCAGGCUCAACAGAACAUCAGCUUGGGCUCCUCCUUGACGCCCCAAGGGCCUAGCAGCUUUUGGCUCUCUCCGUCCGGCGACUUCGCAUUCGGCUUCCGGUCCUUGUCCAUCAAGGGCAACGCCUCCUCCUACCUGCUUGCCGUCUGGUUCAGCAAGAUCAGCGACAAGACAGUGGUUUGGUAAUUGGUAUGCCAAGACAAGUGCAAGUGGUGUACAACAAUCACAGAUCCAGGUUUCAUCCGGUUCAAUUAACAAGCUCACCUCGGGUGGGACUCUCUGCCUCCUCGACCCCGCCAAUACAGAGGUAUGGAAAAGAGACGCUCCGUAGCCGGAUCAUUGCCCCAGACUACUCAAAUGGCCGGUUCCUCCUUGACCUGCAAGAUACCGGUGUGAAACUUUAUUCUGUUCUCCUUUUUGGUACAAACUACACGGUCACUAGAAAAAACGGUUCCAAGCAACCUAGGGUUGCCCCUAAAAGCCUUCACUUAUGCUGAGCUCGAGAAGGCAACCAGAGGAUUUUCCAGGAGGUGCUUGGCACUGGUGCCUCUGGUAUUGUGUACAAGGGCCAGCUAGAAGACGAGCUUGGGACCUGCAUUGCUGUCAAGAAAAUUGACAAGCUCGAGCAGGAAUCGGAAAAGGAGUUCAGUGUUGAAGUGCAAGCUAUUGGACAGACGCACCACAAGAACUUGGUCAAAUUGCUAGGAUUCUGCAGUGAAGGAAAAGAAAGACUUUUGGUGUAUGAGUUCAUGAGCAAUGGAUCAUUAAAUAGAUUUGUGUUUGGUGAUGUCAAUCUUCAGUGGAACCUUCGAGUUCAGCUUGCUCGUGGGGUGGCAAGAGGGCUUCUAUACUUACAUGAGGAAUGCAGCACACAGAUCAUCCAUUGUGACAUCAAGCCCCAGAACAUCCUUCUGGAUGACAAAUUCACAGCAAAGAUCUCAGAUUUUGGCUUAGCCAAACUGCUGGGAACUAACCAGACACAAACAAAUACUGGUAUACGGGGCACCCGGGGAUAUGUUGCACCUGAGUGGUUCAAGAGCAUUGGUAUCACUGCCAAGGUUGAUGUCUACAGCUAUGGGGUCAUCCUGUUGGAGCAAUCAGUCGUCGGCAUAAUUUGAGUUGGAGGCAGCAGAGGAUAAAAAAAUACCUUGGCAGUUUUCGUUUUUUGAACUUUGCUUAUCUGUCAUCUUUGCUGUGUUCUCUGUAAACUUUUCCUCAGCUCUAGCAGGGGCUGGGAGUGAGAGCCUCUAAACUCUAUACUGUAACCGAAUGAUCUAUGGUCUUUUAUGUUAAUGAAAGGCCGGGGUGAUGGCCCUCGAACUCUAAAAAAAAGGAUAAAAAAAUACUGACUUACUGGGCAAGUGAUUGUUAUAGGUGUGGCAGAGUUGAUCUUCUGGUGGAGGGUGAUCCUGAAGCAAUUUUCAAUCUGAAGGUAAUGGAAAGGUUUGUAGCAGUGGCACUGUGGUGUCUCCAGGAAGACCCAACUAUCAGACCUACAAUGCUGAAAGUGACACAAAUGCUUGAUGGAGCAGCAGCAAUCCCAUCUCCUCUUGAUCCAUCUUCCUUUUUCAGCUCAGUUUGAUUGCAGAAUGCUGAAGCAAUAUAGCGGAGUAGAAAGUUACUGAAGGAACGGCUUAUAUACUAGUUAGAUAUAGCAAUCUAAACAUAGGCCUAAACAUAGGCCUACUUAUCCAUUGGUUAGUUGGAUUCUUAUUACUUAGUCUAUGCAUGCAUAACUAUUAGAAAAGUUCUAUUGAGGCGUAUUUUGCAAUAAUUAUGUCCAAAAGAAAAUUCAGAAAACAAACUUCUAGUCAACUUAUUUUCCAAAUGGAAAACCUAGCAAAAAAAAUUCAAGGAAAUUGGCCAAAAGCAGCCAAACUUUUCUCCUAUAUAACUUCAACCUCCUUGUUCCAAUCUGGUCACUGUUAUAAAUUUCAGCUGCCUUGACAGAGCAGAAACAACCAGGGCAGAGAGAGGAAUCGUAUGGACUAGUCAUUGUGCACCUGCCUUCACGCAAACGUCAAUUGAACCACAGGAAAAAUCAAGUCUUGCCUUUAGAACUUGCAAGAUGCCAAAAAUUCGGCCUGACCAGAAGAGGAGCACCUUCAACCACGUAAGGCCUUGUUUAGUUCCAAAAAAUUUUAUAAAUAAUCUCAGAUUUCUCGUCACAUCGAAUCUUGUGGCGUAUACAUGAAGCAUUAAAUAUAGAUAAACAUAAUAACUAAUUGUGCAGCAAUUUGUGAGACAAAUCUUUUGAGUCUAAUUAGUCCAUAAUUGGACAAUAUUUGUCAAAUACAAACGAAAGUGCUACAGUGUUCAUUUUACAAAAAUUUUUACAAGUAAACAAGGCCUAAACCAAAUCACAGCCACCAAUUAUCAACAUACAACUAUGAAUAGUCACACAGAAAAGGACCCAUGCAUGUCGAGUAGCCAACUAGAGAAAUGGACCAGUUCAAAGCUGUUUACUGUUACACCACAUCAUAAGGUUCAAUGACUAUCGAUUGUCACUUGUCAGGUCCAGUCAACGAAGACUCCUGAAACCAGAGAUGCAUAAUAAGUUGGUCAUCAGACAUGCAAGAACUGAAGGUCUUGUUUAGGCCUGUAUAGAUAUACUCAAAAUCCAAAAGUUUAUAAAAUUCCCCAUCACAUCGAAUCUUGCGGUGAAGAAUUAAACAUAAAUUUAAAAAUAACUAAUUGCACAGUUUACCUAUAAAUCGCGAGACGAAUCUUUUAAGCCUAGUUAGUCCAUGAUUGAACAAUGUUUGUCAAAUAGAAUCGAAAUAUUUAUAGUGUCAAAAUUUAAAAAAAUUUGCAUUUAAAAAAUUUCAAAAUUCUCCGUCACAUCGAAUCUUUGGACGUAUGUAUGGAGCAUUAAAUAUAGAUAACAAAAAUAACUAAUUGCACAACUUAUUUGUAAUUUGCGAGACGAAUCUUUUGAACCUAAUUAGUCUAUAAUUGAACAAUAAUUACUAAAUACAAACAAAAAAGCUACUGGCCAAACUAAAAAAAUUUCGCGAAACUAAACAAGGCCCGAGAGCCAGACCAAAAGAAACCCACCCACGGCAGCUCUCCUUCUGUCCUAGCUCCUGCUGCUGUCCUCAACUCCUCUGCAGGCUGGUGGCACGUUCCUCUAACGCGGAACAUAGUUAAAUUUAAGUCAUAAGAACUUUUAUUAAUAAAUCAAGCCACGAUAAAAAAAUAAUAUUUUGUAUAUAUUUUUGAAUAAGACGAGUGGUCAAAUUUGGUAUCAAAAAAGCCAAAACAUCUUAUCAUUUAAGAUGGAUUAAGUAAUAAUUAAUCAUGCCAAAAAUUAGGCUUGAUCCGAAAGGGACCACCUUGGAAGAAUUGCAGACUUUCGUAACACGGUCACAAUCACAAUCAAUCCAGUCCAGUAACAGCAACCCAUGCGCACGGAGCAGCCAGAUAAAAUGAUUGACCAGUUCAGUGCUGUUUACUAUACAUGCCAUGAGAUGCAUAAGCCUGCCAUCAUGAAUAACGGAUUCAUGGCGCCUCUCCUCCUCUUGCCAUUCCUCCUGCUACUGUCCUCACCAUCCAUGAAAGCUCAACAAAACAUCUUGUUGGGCUCCUGGUUAACACCGACACAGGGGUCUAACAGCUCAUGGCACUCGCAAUCCGGUGACUUUGCUUUUGGUUUCCGGCCAGUCGAGGGCAAUUCAUCCUUGUUUCUCCUUGCCGUUUGGUUCAACAAGAUCAGUGACCAGACGGUGGUUUGGUAUGCCAAGGCCAGUGAUCCAGAUCCAGCACCGAUACAAGUUUCAUCCAGUUCACAUCUCCAGCUCGACUCCAGCGGCGUACUCUCGCUCAAGGACUCCACCGGCAUAGAGGUUUGGAAUCCCAACGCUGUGGGUGCAGCCUACGCCACCAUGCUCAACACCGGAAACUUUGUGUUGGCUGCUGCAGAUGGGUCUACCAAGUGGGGGACUUUCAACAACCCAGCAGAUACCAUCCUGCCCACUCAGGUGCUAACCCCCGGAAUGGCGCUCCGCAGCCGGAUCAUCCCCACAGAUUACUCCAAUGGUCGAUUUCUCCUUGAUGUAGCUGAUGAUGGUGUUUUCUUUCAUUCAGUUGCUGUGCCAUCCGGUUACCAAUAUAACCCCUAUUGGGUCAUGCCUGGGAACAAAACCACAAAGCUAGUGUUCAAUGAGACUGGAGUGAUAUACAUGACCUUGGAUGGCAACAUAGAAAUCAAUAUUACAUCUGGACCAGAUAUAACUGGCCCCAUGGAGGACUACUACCACCGUGCCACACUUGACACAGAUGGAGUAUUCCGGCAAUAUGUCUACCCGAUAAACAGAGGCGAGUGGUCUCUGGUGACGGCAUGGACAGUUGUUGGUUUCAGUCCACCAAACAUUUGUGAAACGCUGACAGAAGUCGGCAGCGGCAUCUGCGGGUUUAACAGUUAUUGUCAGUUCGAUAGUGCGAGCAGCAACUUGUCCUGCUUGUGCCCACCGCAGUACUCAUUUUUAGAUGAGGAGAGGAAGUACAAAGGAUGCAAACCAGACUUCCAGACACAAGGCUGUGAGUUGGAUGAAGCAUCCGCCAUGGCGCAGUUUCAGCUGACAUGGCAAGACAAUGUGGAUUGGCCUCUAGCUGACUACGAGAUAUACACCCCUGUAACUGAGAAUCAGUGCCGGCGACUCUGCCUAAUAGACUGCUUCUGUACUGUCGCAGUGUUCCAUGACAGUGAUAAUACAUGUUGGAAGAAGAAAACACCAUUGUCGAAUGGAAAAAUGAUGCACAGCGUGCAGAGGACGCUUCUUCUAAAGUUGCCAAAGAACAACAUUUCACAGACUGAGCUUAUUAAUGUGUCUGGCAAAUGGAAGAAAGACAAGAUGCACUGGAUCCUUGGAGGUUCAAUGCUUUUAGGAAGCUCAGUCUUGGUGAACCUUCUCCUGACUUUGGUUCUCCUUUUCGGUACCUACCGUGUUAUCACCAUUAUCAAGAUAGCCCAGCCCUUGCAAUCAUCAAGUAACCUAGGAUUACCUUUGAAAGCCUUCAGUUACACCGAGCUUGACAAGGCAACAGGUGGAUUCACAGAGGUGCUUGGCACUGGUGCCUCUGGUAUUGUGUACAAGGGCCACCUAGAAGAUAACCUCAGAACCUGCAUUGCUGUGAAGAAAAUUGACAAGCUCCAGAAGGAGACAGAAAAGGAGUUCACUAUGGAAGUUCAGGCCAUUGGACAGACAUACCAUAAGAAUUUGGUCCGCUUGCUAGGAUUCUGCAGUGAAGGAAGUGAGAGACUAUUGGUGUAUGAAUUCAUGGCCAAUGGAUCACUCAGCGGAUUACUGUUUGGUGAUGUCAGGCCUCAAUGGAACCUUCGAGUUCAGCUUGCUCUGGGUGUAGCAAGGGGACUGCUAUACUUACACGAGGAAUGCAGCACACAGAUCAUCCAUUGUGACAUAAAGCCCCAGAACAUUCUUCUUGAUGACAAGUUGACAGCAAAGAUCUCAGACUUCGGCUUAGCCAAACUGCUGCAAACCAACCAGACACAAACAAAUACUGGUAUACGGGGUACCCGAGGAUAUGUUGCACCUGAGUGGUUCAAGAGCAUUGGUAUCACUGCCAAGGUCGAUGUCUACAGCUAUGGGGUCAUCCUGUUGGAGCUCAUCAGUCGUCGGCGUAAUGUUGAGUUGGAGGCAGCAGAGGAUAAAAAAAUACUGACUUACUGGGCAAGUGAUUGUUAUAGGUGUGGCAGAGUUGAUCUUCUGGUGGAGGCUGAUGCUGAAGCAAUUUCUAAUCUGAAGGUGGUGGAAAGGUUUGUAGCAGUGGCACUGUGGUGUCUCCAGGAAGACCCAACUAUCAGACCUACAAUGCUGAAAGUGACACAAAUGCUUGAUGGAGCAGAAGCAAUCCCAUCUCCUCUUGAUCCAUCUUCCUUUUUCAGCUCAGUUUGAUUGCAGAAUGCUGAAGCAAUAUAGCGGAGUAGAAAGUUACUGGAGGAACGGCUUAUAUACUAGUUAGAUAUAGCUAUCUCCUGAAGGAAUAGCUUAUACUUCAUGUUACGAAUGCUGCUACUGUUUUUCUUCUUUAUGUAAUGUGAACAGCACCGAUAGUGCUGUAGUCGGUAUCCUGUAAGAAUUGGAAGGAGAAAAAUAUUAGGAAAGACUCCUCUUCCAAACAGAAUACCUACUUCCUAAAUAAAAUAUUUUUCUAUGAUAAGAGUUAGUUACUUUUACGUUGCAACUUACUUAUUCAUUGGUUAGUUGGAUUCUUAUUACUUAUGUCUAUGCAUGCAUAACUAUUAGAAAAGUUCUAUUGGGGCGUAUUUUGCAAUAAUUAUGUCCAAAACAAAAUUCAGAAAACAAACUUCUAGUUAACUUAUUUUCCAAAUGGAAAACCUAGCAAAAAAAAUAUCAAGGAAAUUGGCCAAAAGCAGCCAAACUUUUCUCCUAUAUAACUUCAACCUCCUUGUUCCAAUCUGGUCACUGUUAUAAAUUUCAGCUGCCUUGACAGAGCAGAAACAACCAGGGCAGAGAGAGGAAUCGUAUGGACUAGUCAUUGUGCACCUGCCUUCACGCAAACGUUAAUUGAACCACAGGAAAAAUCAAGUCUUGCCUUCUUUAGAACUUGCAAGAUGCCAAAAAUUCGGUCUGACCAGUUCCAAAAAAUUUUAUAAAUAAUUUCAGAUUUCCUGUCACAUCAAAUCUUGCGGCAUAUGCAUGAAGCAUUAAAUAUAGAUAAACAUAAUAACUAAUUGUGCAGUUUGUCUGUAAUUUAAGAGACAAAUCUUUUGAGUCUAAUUAGUCCAUAAUUGGACAAUAUUUGUCAAAUACAAACGAAAAUGCUACAAUGUUCAUUUUGCAAAUUUUUUUACGAGUAAACAAGGCCUAAACCAAAUCACAGCCACCAAUUAUCAACAUACAACAAUGAAUAGUCACACAGAAAAGGACCCAUGCAUGUCGAGUAGCCAACUGUAGAAAUGGACCAGUGCAAAGCUGCUUACUGUUACACCACAUCAUAAGGUUCAGUCAACGAAGACUCCUGAAACCAGAGAUGCAUAAUAAGUUGGUCAUCAGACAUGCAAGAACUGAAUGUCUUGUUUAGGGCCUGUAUAGAUACACUCAAAAUCCCAAAGUUUACAAGAUUCUCCAUCACAUCAAAUCUUGCGGUACAUGUAUGGAGCAUUAAACAUAGAUUAAAAAAUAACUAAUUACACAGUUUACCUAUAAAUCGCGAGACGAAUCUUUUAAGCCUAGUUAGUCCAUGAUUGAACAAUAUUUGUCAAAUACAAACGAAAAUGUUAUAGUGUCAAAAUUAAAAAAAAUUGCAUCUAAAAAAUUUCAAAAUUCUCCGUCACAUCGAAUCUUUGUACGCAUGUAUAGAGCAUUAAAUAUAGAUAACAAAAAUAACUAAUUGCACAACUUAUUUGUAUUUGCAAGACGAAUCUUUUGAGCCUAAGAGCAACUCCAAGAGAGUUGAUAAAAAUGAAUGGCUAAAUUCAAGAUUUAGCCAACCUCAAAAAUAGAAAAUCAUGUAAAAAAACAAAAAUCUCCAACAGUCUUUCUAUACGGCAAAUCAUAUGGCUAGCGGGACAUGCAAGCUAUAUUUACCAUGCGAGAACUCCGGGAUAGAUGACUUGCUAUUUUAGCAAACUAAAUACAAUAGCUGCUCUCUUUUCUCUUUCAAAAUAACCAAAUAUAUAAUACAUAACAUGUACAGCUCUUCUCUUGGAGUUGCUCUAAUUAGUCUAUAAUUGAACAAUAAUUACUAAAUACAAAUAAAAAUGCUACAUUAGCCAAACUAAAAAAUUUCGUAAACUAAACAAGGCCCGAGAGCCAGACCAAAAGAAACCCACCCACGCCAGCUCUCCUUCUGUCCUAGCUCCUGCUGCUGUCCUCAACUCCUCUGCAGGCUCAACAGAAAAACACCCUAGGGCCUGCACCUCUUGGCUCUCAUGUAGAAGAAGCUACUUCUGUGGAAAAAAAAAAAGCCCAAAUCGCAUCGAAUAAGACUCGAAUUUAAGUGGCAUGACAUAAACCAACAUCCACAACCGCUCUAAACACAGUCGCUCUUACACACACACAAAAGGCGUUAGACAAAAAAAGCUUAGUUGCAUUGCCUUGGAUUAAUUAGGCCUUGUUUGAUUGCUCCUGUUUUUUUAAAACUCUCGUCACAUUAAAUGUUUGGACUCACGCACGAUAUACUAAUUAAUUCAUGAUUCGACACUAAUUGUCAAAUAAAAUAAAAAUGCUACACUACCUGUUAACUAUAUCCUCUCUAACCAAACACCCCCUAAGAUAGUAGGCUGUAGCCUUCAUUCAUGACAGAAGAACCAGUGCCAGUGUUGACCCUCUAACGCGGCAAGCUGGUGGCACGUUCCUGUCUAAUGCCGGCGCGGUAGUCCUUAUUGUUAUGGGCCAGUCGACAGCAUAAAGAGUGAACGUCUCAGUCAACAUGAGACAAACGAUAUGAACCUAUACACUCAAAAAAAAAUGAACCAUACACUCAUGAAAAUCGAGAACGAAAAUUUGUCAACCAUGAAAAAUACGUACUUUUUUUACAACAAAAUACAUACUUCUUUAAGAGAGCAUAUGUUGUAGAGAAAAUUCAGAAAAUAACGCACCCAAGGAAACUGGCCACAAGUAACCAAAAUUUCCUCCUAUACAAUUCCAACUUUGUUCCAAUCUGAUCGUGAUUGAAAAUCAGUCACCAAGCAUGACCCUCACGGUAAGAACUAACCAUGACCAUGCUUCUGAAAAAGCAUAACUGGAAGCGUCCGCCGUCCGGUGUAUAGGUUGGAAUUUGGACAAGUAGUCAUUGUGCAAAUCUGGACAUUAUGCACCUGCCUCCACACAAUCGUAAAUUUAACCACAGGAAAAACAAAGUCUUCUCUUCCAUAGAACUUUUAAGCAUGCGAAAAAAUCAGACUGCUAGAAGUGGAGCACCUUCAAACACUUGCAAACUUCCAUAACCAAUCACAUCAACCAAUUAACUACAUCCAUCGCGAAAUAGUCACAGGGACCAAUUGUCGUAAUUGACCAGUUCAAAGUUGCUUUAUAAUGUUAUGAAGGUUCCGAUGACCCAACCACUGUCAGGUCAAGUCAACCAAAAGUCCUGAGUCCUGAAACAAAGAGAUGCAUAUGUUGGGCCACCAAACGCAGGAACUCAGAGCCAAACCAAAAGAACCGAUGGCAGCUCUCCUUCUCUUGUCCUUGCUCCUGCUGCUGUCCUCUACUCCCCUUCAAGCUCAACAGAACAUCACCUUGAACUCCUCCUUGACACCCCAAGGGCCUAGCACCUCGUGGCUCUCUCCAUCCGGCGACUUCGCGUUCGGCUUCCGGCCCAUCGAGGGUAACACCUCUUUCUACCUGCUCGCCGUCUGGUUCAACAAGAUCGGAGACCAGACAGUGGCUUGGUAUGCCAAGACCACUGAUUCAGAUCCAGCGCCGGUGCAAGUUUCAUCCGGUUCACGCCUCCUGCUCAACUCCAAUGGGGCGCUCUCGCUCCAGGACUCCACCGGCACAGAGGUAUGGAAUCCCCAAAUUGUGGGUGCAUCCUACGCUGCCAUGCUCGAUUCUGGAAACUUUGUACUGGUUGCUUCAGAUGGCUCUACCAAAUGGGGGAGCUUCAAAAACCCUACAGAUACCAUCCUGCCCACUCAGGUGCUCACCACUGGAAUGAGUCUCCGCAGUCGGAUCAUCCCCACCGACUACUCCAAUGGCCGCUUCCUCCUUGACCUGCAAAGUACUGGUGUGUCUCUUUAUACUGUUGCUGUGCCCUCCGGUCACCAAUAUGAUCCAUAUUGGUCCAUGGAUGUGAACACCACAAAUCUGGUAUUCAAUGCGACUGGUGUGAUAUAUAUCGGCAACCAAAGUGAAAUCACAUCUUGGGUCAUCAGCUCCAUAGCAAACUACUACCUUCGUGCCACACUUGAUCCUGAUGGUGUUUUCCGACAAUAUAUGUACCCAAAGAAAGCCAGCAACCAGAGUAAUCAGGAAUGGUCAGUAGUGGACUUCAAGCCCCCAAAUAUCUGUGAUGCACAGCUGACAAAUGUUGGAAGCGGUAUUUGCGGUUUUAACAGUUAUUGCAUAUGGAGUGGGACAAACAACCUGAGUACUUGCAUGUGCCCAGAGCAGUACUCAUUUAUUGAUGACAAGAGGAAGUAUAUAGGCUGCAAACCAGACUUCGAGCCACAAAGUUGCGACUUGGAUGAAGCAGCGGUCAUGAUGCAGUUUAAGUUGAUACCGGUGAGCCAUGUUGAUUGGCCACUGUCUGACUAUGAGCAGUAUAGCCCCAUUACUGCAGAUCAGUGUCAGAAACUCUGUAUGACAGAUUGUUUCUGUGCCCUUGCUGUGUUCCAUGAUGAAGACAAUACAUGUUGGAAGAAGAAGAUGCCUUUGUCAAAUGGCCAUAUGGGGGAUGAUGUGCAGAGGACAGUUUACAUCAAGGUACGAAAGAACAAUGGUACACAGUCUGAGAUCAUUGCUUCGAACAAAUGGAAGAAAGACAAGAAGAAUUGGAUCAUUGGAAGUUCAUUGUUUUUGGGAAGCUCUGUCUUGGUGAACAUUCUGCUGAUUUCCAUAAUACUCUUUGGUACUUACUGUACCAUCACCAUAAAAGAAGUCCCAUCUAUGCAGUCACCAAACAAUAUAGGAUUGCCCUUGAAAGCCUUCACUUAUACUGAGCUUGAGAAGGCAACCGGUGGAUUCCAGAAAGUGAUUGGCACAGGUGCCUCUGGUAUUGUGUACAAGGGCCAGCUACAAGAUGAUCUCAGUACCCACAUUGCUGUCAAAAAAAUUGACAAGCUUGAGCAUGAAACAGAGAAGGAGUUCACCAGUGAAGUCCAAACUAUUGGUCGGACGCACCACAAGAACUUGGUCAGGUUGCUAGGAUUCUGCAAUGAAGGAAAAGAAAGACUACUAGUGUAUGAAUUCAUGACCAAUGGAUCACUCAACAGAUUCUUAUUUGGUGAUACCAAGCUUCAGUGGAAUAUUCGAGCUCAGCUUGCUCUCGGGGUGGCAAGGGGGCUGCUAUACUUACAUGAGGAAUGCAGCACACAGAUUAUCCAUUGUGACAUAAAGCCCCAGAACAUCCUUCUCGAUGGCGACUUCACAGCAAAGAUCUCAGAUUUCGGCUUAGCCAAACUGCUCCGAACCAACCAGACACAAACAAAUACAGGUAUUCGGGGUACCCGAGGAUAUGUUGCCCCUGAGUGGUUUAAGAACAUCGGUAUCACUGCCAAGGUGGAUGUUUACAGCUUUGGGGUCAUCCUGUUGGAGCUUGUCUGUUGUCGACGGAAUGUUGAAUUGGAGGCUGCAGAGGAGGAUCAAAAAAUACUGACUGACUGGGCAAAUGACUGUUAUAGGUGUGGCAGAAUUGAUUUUCUGGUGGAGGGUGAUGAUGAAGCAAUUUCUGAUUUGAAGAACGUGGAAAGGUUUGUUGCAGUGGCAUUGUGGUGUCUUCAGGAGGACCCAACUAUGAGACCUACAAUGCGGAAGGUGACACAAAUGCUUGAUGAAGCAGCUGCAGUCCCAAGCCCUCCUGAUCCUACUUCCUUUGUCAGUACACUGGCAUAGCAUCACUCCUGCAUAUUGUCAUAUAUUAGUAUAUGUAUGAAGCAAUAAAAUUGUGUGGGAAAUUAGAUACAGAUAUCUACUGAAAGUUACGUCUGCUGAUACUGUAGUGUUAUUAUGUGUACUGUAAAGAGCGCAGCAGUACUGUCUGCGGAACGAAAUGCGAACGGGAGUAUCCUUCAAGUGCCGCCGCCGCCACCGCUCCGUCUCCAUCACCGCUGGUCCCCCUCCCUCCCUCCUCCGGCAUAUCGCCAGAGGCUAGAGGGAGUGGGGAUCCAUCGUUUUUAAUAAGUUUUUCCUAGUCGAAUUUUUAGGAUUAAGGUCUCUCCAUGCCAAGAUUCUUGGUUUUGGGGAUUUAUUUCCUCCUCUCCGGUGACAGGGAGAGAGCAGGGUGGAAUCAUUUUCUCCAUGGCGGCUUUGUUGAAGAUGCAGGCAACAACUACGGCGUUGAAAUCCCCACAUGGGGACUUUUAUUUCCGGGCGGCGACAUCAAGGUGGAGAUGGUGUCGCUGCUAUAGAAUAAUUUUAUCCGGUCUCUACUCCAUUUUAUUGUGGUUAGAUCUAGCCAUGAUGAAGGACUAGGGAGAAUAAGUUUCAGAUCAGUCUUCCUCAUUCUUCGGUGGCAGAAAGAAGAAGGAAGACACCAGAAAGAAGAAGUUUCUCAACUCCACCUACAUGAAUGUUGGCCGUCGUUCGUUGGGCAUCUGUUCUCAGGCCUUUUGCCGAGUGUUUGCCUGUGUGGUCAUCCAUACUGCAAAGCGUUGUACAGGUUUGGUUUUGAGAUCUGGAGCUAUUCACAACAUGGGUACAAUUUAGAUGAAAAUCAUUUUCUGGAUAUUUAUGUAAUCCAGAAUGCUUGUAACGUGUUCAUGUAUCCAACCAUUAUUUAAUAUAAUUAUUCUUUCAUCGCAAAAAAGAAAAGCAAUAUUGUCUGCGGCCAUAACAGACUGUAGUAAAUAUAUUAGGAAGGCUUCAUCUUCCCAAAUUGAAUACCUGUUUCCUUAAAAUAAAUUAUUUUCCAAGAACAAAUUAGUUACUUGUAUGUGGUAUAUCAUCUAUUGGUUAUUUAGGUUUGUGACUUGAUGAUUCUAUCCAUAAUUGUUAGGAGAAUUGCCAAAGGGCCUCUAGUCCAGUUGGUUAGAGGAACCCGGCGGCACUCCUUAGGUCCUGAGUUCGACUCCCCGUGGGAGCGAAUUUUCAGGCUAAUGU